Molecule: long non-coding RNA, 82411 nt
Filed under: Musa acuminata (dwarf banana)
Lineage: Eukaryota; Viridiplantae; Streptophyta; Magnoliopsida; Zingiberales; Musaceae
Description: long non-coding RNA (MACU_LNC005492)
Rfam family: tRNA (bases 79196-79268)
Source: RNAcentral
UCCCAAAGGCUCCAAGGUUUUCCUAGAAAAAUUGUACUUAAGUUAACUAAGCUUUUCUCAAGGAUAUAUCUUUCUCAUAAAGUCAUAUACAAGUUUCAUAUAGAAUCCCACAACCUGCAUUAAUAACAUGUAACAUCAAAGACAAGUAGACAACUAUGUCAAUGUAAAAUCUAUUCAGAUGAAAUAGAUGAACCUUUCUUAAAUUUCAAAUAGAGAAUAAAACUGAGCAUCUCUAAUGCUAAGCUCAAAGUUUGCACAAACAAAAGCAUAAAAACUUUACAUAAGAAGUCAAAAUAAAAGCUUAAAAAAUUCUCUCUUUUUUUUUCUGUUCUGCCAAUGCAGGAAAGACUAGAAGAAACCAUAAGUUUGAUAAAUGUGUAGGAUAACCUGACCUCCAGAAGUGGUAAAUGUGGAAAGCCCUUCAAAGUUGAUAUCUUAUUUUUGCUAGCUGCCAAUACCUGGAUGAGUACCAAAACAAAGAACAGUGGCUGAAUAAAAAAAAUAAAGAGAAAAAAAGUUAAUAAAUUAAAAUUAGCUGACCUGCAGCCGUGGUUGACUAGCCAUGGUAAGUGACUUUAACUUGUUCUGAGCAACUGAGAGAAACUGGAAGAGAAGAAGUUCGAUGUAGAUUUGUGAGAAAUAAUAAUAGUACGCAUUAUUAAAAGAGAAUACAUUAUCCAGUCUAAGACUCUGAUAAAUGAUGAUUACAGCAUACCUCCAAAUUUGGAAGUUGAGGAAGAGUAGCAAGCGAUGUUAUUUGAUUUCCAGCAAGAUAAAGUUGCUAAAGUAAUAAGGAACAAAUCAUUCUUAGUUGCAUAUUUAGGCAAAGAACCUCCAUACAGAGGUAUGCAAGUAAAAGACAACUUAAAAGACCAUUUACAUACCUGAAGUCCUUUGCAAUUUCCAAGAGGCUCAAAACCAGGUCCUUCAAAAUCAUUAAAACUAAGGUCAAGCACCUUCAAGAUAAAAUUUACCCACUCAUCAAUAUACCAUUGGGAUGUUUAGUCAAAAGAAAAUGCUUGAAGGUAACCCCUGUUAUUUUAUAAAAUGGGAUGAUAAAUGCUGGCAAAAAUAUAUCAAGAAACCAUACCUUCAACCUUUUUAAAAUCUCAAUGCCCUCUACGGAUGAUAGAAGGUUAUCCCUGAGAUAAACAAACUAUAAAGUAGAAAUAUUACUACAUGUAGAAGCAGUCAUUCUUCAGAGAGCAUUUAUAAUGUAUACUUUGUUCUGUAUGUUUGAGAUGAACACAAAAGAAACAAAGUAAAACCCUAUAUAUGGUGCAAGAACGAAGUACUCUCACAACAUUUAAUCAAAAAGUAAAAACAAAGAAAGAUGUUAACAUGAAUUAUGCAGUCAUUAAUUAGCCUAGCAACAGAAAGCUGAAAUUAACAGAAUCGCACUAACAGGUAAAGAUAUUAUUAUCUCGUAACAGUUAUUUUCACCAGAAAUCUGUGUCAACUCUCAAGCAUGUUUAAUGUAACCCAGUUAAUAAUGUCAGCAAUUCUUAUGUUUACAUACUCAACUAGUCUAUCAGGUUCGUCAUACCAUGGCAUACUGCUCGAUAUGGCUAGUAUAUAUGUAUCGGUCCGAUAGGAGACCGGUAUAGGCGGUACAUAGUGGUUUGUCGGUACACUCCACCGUAUCAUGUGUCAGUGUGUCAGUACGUAUAUGUAUCAUAUCGGUACAGUCGAUUGGUACACCGGUAUGGAUCGAUAGGGCGAAUCAUAGGCUACCUAUGAAGUGCAUACAAUCACAGCUAGCUCAUUAAGCUCAUCAGUCACCGUAUACUCUCUUGCCAAUAGCAUACCGAGUUUCAGAGAAGACCAGAUCUUAAUAAUCAUUAUAACUAACGAACAAGUGUAGAGCUUCAAUAUGACACCUCAGACACCUUGCACCACAGGCACAUUUUACAUGUUUCAAAAUGUAAUUACUAGAGAUAGCCUACAGUAAUGGAAAGUCCCCAACAAGUGCAACCUUCUCCCAUUUACCACAUUUCUUAUGCAAUUAUGCAAAUUUACAUCUUUACAUAACAUACUAAUUCCAUACCCCAUAAGAUUGCCCUUUUCUUAAGGACUACUUAAGAUUACCAUCAAAUACAUAUGAAAAAAAUCUAUCACAAAAAUUAUUUGUUUUGAGCCCUCUAAAAUUUUUGACUUAGUAGACCAUGGGAAACAGGCUAAUCAAAAUAACAAAUGUGGUACCACUGAGACUUCUACAUCAUUGCAAAAUCUUUAACUCUGACCUUAUAUGUAAUUCAUAAGUAUGAAUCCGUAUUAUCAGCCAUGACACUAACAAAAGAAAGCAUUAAAACUUUCCAUCAUGCAAAAGAUCCUAUGAUGUAUUUCCUUCUUAGAUCUAGUACUUAAGCAAUAAGAAGUCACGUCAAUCUUACUAAAGAAAUCUUAUCAUAACCUCAAGCACAUUGUGUACAUUGUAACACAACCUUAUCACAAGCAACCCAAAUCAAUGGAUUUAUCUCUAGAACCCUCCAAACCAUCCAGUCAGUGGUCGACGAUAAUUUGACAUGCUUGUAGCCUAGCAUAGAGAUAUAGAGGUACCAUUAAAGAAGUAGAGGCUGCAAUAGUGCAACACAUUCUCUCUUGUCCACCUUUAUCUCUCUGCCAUGUAUUCUUCUUUUCUCAUUCCAUGAAUCUUUUAUGUCAUAUAGUUAGAGGCCUAUAUAAGGGUGCCAUGAUGAUAACAACAUUUUCAUCACAACUCCCACAGGUGAAUUAGAUCAAUCUUUAUGUAAGUAGGAAAGCAUGAUAUUUUAUAGUAGACAUCCACCUUAUUAGGUAUGUGCAGGUGACCUCUAUAUUCAUUUCCUCCGUUUCUUUCAAAAUAAAGUUACCAAUGUUUUAUUCAUAUACCAAAUUCAUUGGAAAAACUAAGAAUUUAGUCAAGUGAGCUUCUAUAUCUUCAAACAGAACUUUGAGAAAAGACCAUAGUAAUAGUUUGACCACAUACAAAUUAACUUUAUAUAGGGUUUUAUGCUCUCCAUCAUGCUGAUGAACGAUGGCCUUGGAACUUCAAACGAUAGUCCAUUGUACCAUGCAGCGAGUUACCAGAACCAACCCCCAAGUUAAAAUAACACAAAACGAUGAAUAGGUUACUAUUUAAGUUGCUUGAUCAUUGUUAAUGGUUGGAACUUGAAAAUAAAUACAUGAAUCAAAAUUAUCAGUAGCCUUCUUUUAUAUUUGUUCACUGAUUUCACGUCAUUACAUAGACAAGAUUACAGGCCCAAACCAGAUAACUAUCAUUCUUCACUCAAAGAGCAUUAUUUGCCUAUGUAAACAAACCAAAAUUGCUAACUGAUCCAAAAUGCACGCUUACCUCUAGAUUUGGUGACAAAGUCAAGGCACUAAGGCUGCGAACUCUGUGUCCUCUUAAAUCAAGCCGCUGAAAAUGCAUUAAAAACAGCAAAAGAAGCAGUGGUUUAAACGAUGAAUGUUCUUCCUAAAGCUGCAUUGACUAAUUGAAUUCAGGUUUUUCUCUACUAUUGGUAAUAUAAUCAAAUAGAAGAAACUUAAAAGAAAAAGAACUCAAUUCUAAAUGAGAUUCCGUAUUAAGCGUGAGCUUCAUCACUUACCAGUUCAUCACCAGCCUUGACAUCGACCUGUGGAAGCAUCAUGAAGCGAGAAUCACGACUCUCAGAAGAUGAAGUCUUCUUCCGGCCUGAUAAAGACGAACUCCUAUCAACAGAUGAAGAUGUUGACCUCAUUUUAGAGCUACUCAUAAUUGAAGGUGAGCGCCCCGAUGGAGAAGAUACAUUGUUAGUGACUCUUCUGAGACUACCGCGGCCAUUGGGAUCAUCCACUGAAGAUGAGGUAAUCCUUCUUGAGGAAGAAGCUGAAAGUGAUGGUGAUGAUGGUUUGAUGGACGGCUUCCUUGUCAAGUCUGCCUUGGUACUGUCAGACUUGGAUAAUAACCUUGACAUGGGAGAUGACUUUAACGUCUCUGAACGUUUUACGGAGGCAGGUAUUUUCGAGCUAACAGAAGGCAGUGAUGAACGUCUGCUCUCAAGGCUGCUGCUUCUCUUUCCAGGAUCAGAAAGCGAAGGAGCGAUCUUUUUAGCCUCAGCUGGAGUUCCAUUUUCCUUUCGUUUUGUAGCAGAAGAUGGCUGUUUCAGUGCCAUGCCCCCAGUGCUACUUCUCCUCGGCAAUGCAUUUGAGUUCACAGCGGUUUUGGUUAAAGUAGACUUAGACCUGUUGGCAAUCUUAUCUGCUGGACCAGCACCUUCUGUUCGUUUCUUGGUCGAAGCAAUCGGUGUUAUUUCGCUAGGUUUUACCAUUUUCGAUGAUUUUUUUGAAACUCCAACGGAAGCAUCCGUCGAUUUCUCUGAGGACGUCGAUAACUGAACCUUUUUGGCCGGAUCCUCGCUAUCGUUCUCCAAAACUGACUCCAUUUCAGCAGAAAACUUGUAGCUUAUGUGUUUGGAUCCAAACCCAGCCAGCUCGAUCACGCAAAAAUACCUUUUCGAGUCCUUCGGCACACGAAUUUUAAGUGAAUGAGUUGGGCCUAGUGCGGGCAACUAACGAAGUCGACACGCAUGUUCUCCAAACGAACUCCUCGAGAAACACUGCGAAAUUAAGAAAAAAGAAAUCGAAUUGCUGUUGGUCUUUAGAUCAUUUCCAUAGUGAUCCUACAUAGAACAGGGAUUACUCUUCCAUUCAUGUAAAAACCAGCUAGAUGCAAGAAAAGCCAGGUACCGAUCUCACACACAUCGACAAACUCAAAGAAGAAAGAAAACGUUCCAAUCUUGGCACUAAAUCCAGGCUAAAUGCAGACAAACCCACCAAAAACCCAAAAUCCACAGGAAAAACACAUCAAAUCCGAAGCAAGACCAAAACUUUUCGCAACCUACGGAAAUGCAGGUCCUAGAAGGGAAGGUCCGCGCCCUACAUCGAUCUCCACGAGAAAAGAAACAACAACGAACCCAAAUUAGAAGAAGAACCUACCGCAGGAUCGAACCGGUGAGCGGGAUCUCACCUCAAACGCGGGUGACCGUGGCACCAGAACAAACCCUACUCGUCUUUGAUAAAUGUAGUCCGCGAGUACGAUCUCUGCGAGUGAGAGAGUGUGAGAGAUAGAGAGAAACGGAUACGAGCGGAAGCAUCGAAAAGUAAUCAAACGAUAAAUGAAAAGAAUAAAGAUAUUAAAAAGGAGCGAUUGAUGGCUUUCGUUGGAUGCGCGUACAAAAUUGGAAAAAGAAAAGAAGCGAGAGGAGUUCAUUUGACCAAAUUGCCCUCCUUUUGUCGGUAAUGAACAUGCCUCUCCAGCUAACGUACAAGCACGCCUCCACACAAUUCCACUCUUUCACCUCCACGUAACAGUUAUUCCAAGAAACAACGUUUCCUUUUCCAGUUAGACUUGGAGGGAAUCUUGCCAAGUCGGUGACGCGAUGCGACCCACGACCUAACGAAGGAGCAGUCGUGGUGAGCAACGGCUAGCGGUGAUCGAAACUUGGCGGUGCGUGGACCGCAAUGACAGCUGUAGAGUAUAUUUGGUGGCAGAGGUGGCUUUUUCCAUAAAACCCCUUGCUUUUGUUAUUAUUAUAAGACCUUUAUACGAAUAUAUGCGUCCCACCUGUAAUGCGUGGAUGAGCAAGUGGGGCCGGGGGGAACAGCCGAUUCUUUUUUCACGUGUACCCUCACUUACCCACAAUGGGUCCCAUUAUUCCUUCAAUCAGAAGGCAGAGGUACCGCCGUGGAACGUAGGUAUUUCGUAGCAAUAGCUUUUUUCUAUAAUACUCCUUGACUAAGUGGUAAUUAUAUAAACUUCACUUUCAUUGCGUGGCUACGCAAGGAACCGUUGUACUUUCCUCACGCCCAUUCAAACUUACCCAUUCUGGGUCCCACAGUGCCCUUCCUCCAAUCAUAAAGCAGAAGCAGUGGUAAGCGUUGGUAUGUACGGUUCUCUAGUAGCGGAGGCCUUUUUUCCUAUAAAACCCCUCAACUUUGUUGGUUAUUAUAGAAAGCCCAUGCAUCUACACCCCACUUGUAUUGCGUGGUUACGUAGGGUGGGGCCCGGAGGAAAGCAAAGCUUUCCAGUAUGUGUUGGGCCCCACAGUCUCUUCCGCCAAUGACAAUGCUGAGGUAUGGAAAAGCCGUGAAACGGUUGGGGGGGGGACUAUUUUUCUGGGGAGAAAAGGUGAGGGGCUCUUAGUGGCUGAUGCCGACACAAAUGGAAGAUCGUAGCCGUAGAUCUGAGCCGUGAUUGAUUGCCUCCCUCUAAAUUAGGUAUUUGGUGUGCCUUGGACCGGAUGAUUAAUGAUUAAUUAAUGAUGGGGUUCAAUAAAAUAUGCGAUUAAUUAGUUGUGGAUGAAGAUAACGUGCAACCAAAUACCCUUUUUUUUUCCUUUUUGUCAAAAGAUGUGCCACAAUAUAUUCAAAGGGGUUGGCAGACAAAUCCAAUAUAAAAUUCAUAAUGUCACCACUACAUCUACUAGAUCUUGGGAAUGCAAUAUUAUAUCUUGCUUAUUGCAUGAUCAAAUCAAUCAAGAUUGAAUGUUUUAAUAUCACAAUAUUUUUUUUUCAAAAAUAAAAAGAUUUUGUGAUAAAUGAUAAAGUAUUUUAGAAACUAAUCUAACUGACAUACACUAUAUUUUAAAGACUCUCAUCCUUUAGCAUGUGAGUGUAAAAAAUAAUUAUUACUUCCUUAAAUGAGUACAACAUUCAAUAAAAAUAAUAUAGGAUUAUUCUUCCUAUGUACUUGCUUUAUUUUUAAUAACCAUGGAGAGCUAAAAGAGUGUGAGUAUAUUUUUUGUUAUGUUCAAGAUAUUUCAAUAAGGUGCACUUUUUAUACUAAAAUUAUCAACCAAGGUUUUAUAUUAGAGAAUAUUAUUUUUAUUAGCAAAAUUUAGUUAUCAAUACAUAUCUAUAACAAGCAAUGCAUUUAUGUACCUUAAUCAAUAUUAUCCAACUCAAAAGUCCUGCAUAUGAUCCUCUCUCUCUCUCUCUNNNNNNNNNNNNNNNNNNNNCCUAACCUAAACUAAACCGUUACCGUCGACUAUAUAUCUCUCUCUCUCUCUCUCUCUCUCUCUCUCUCUCUCUCUCUCACACACACACACAUAUUAAAUUUGGUGCAUUAUUUGAAUCAGCAUUUGUUGUCAUUGUGUACUUUGGGUUCUCUAGAACUGAGCAUGAGAAUUAACUUCAUUUGCCAACACAUUUGUUUGGUUGUUGAUCUUUCAGAAUCAUCUUGUGCCAAGUCAAACUUGUUUGGAUAAGCAUGAACAUGUGGAUAUAAAAUAUAUAUGAACUUGUGGACAAACAAAUCCUCUGUUAUUUCUUUUCCUCCUCUGAAUAUACUAUUGUGGGGUAUAAAUUGCAAAUGUGUUUAUAAACUCAAUCUUCAGCUGAAAAAAGCAAACAUGUUUGACACCAACCCCCCCAAAAAAAAGUGCAUUAAAAGGAUUAAAACCAAUCUAAAACAGAGAAAGAAACAAAAUCAUUCAUCCCAUGGCAGCAAGUGAGGUUGUUGAAGGGGUAAUAAAUGAAAAUGGUCUAAAACAAAACAAGAAAUAUGAACAUUAUAUAUGCAGCAACAGCAGGUUGUGGGAAGGUAAUAAAUGAAAUGGUCUUUUUGUACAUAUAUGUUCUUCAAAAUGGUUAUAUAUGUCAUUCUAAAUUAUAAUAUUCCAGCUAUGGUGAGCAUUAAUAGUUCAUUAGCAUGCACCAUAUUAUAUAGGUAGGGAACAUUUGACAUCAACCCAUGACACAUGGAUACUAAAUCAUCAACCUCAAACAAAUUUAUCUAUGGCACUGCUCUAAUUUAAAAUUAUUUAUUUGAAAUUUGAAAGAAUCUUACUAGUUAUGACUCAUACUAGUUUUGCAAACCUCAAUGCCUCUAAAGAAUUCUAAAUAUUGGAACCAUAGAUUUUAUGAUAUCCAGAAUAAUACCAAUCCAACAUAACAUAUUGGUCAAAUGUCCUUGCAGCUCAAUAAUUGGAUUCUACUUGCCUUGUUUGAACUAAAUGGAUCAGGUCAGAUCAGACUUAGUUAGGCUAACAAUUGACAUCUUUAAGACAGAUGAAUAAAAUAUACACUUGUGUUGUUUUGUGCAAACUUGCUUAAUUCGAAAAAGGAAUGCUAAUGUUAUUAAAGGCUUCAAAAAAGAAAUUUGUCUUCAAAUUGGGUCCUUGAAUCAGACACACUAACAACACCAUGAAAAGUGAAUGUAAUCAACAUAAACACUCAGCUUACAAGCAAGCAUUGUUUCUCCAACCUUGAAGCAAACACUGCCCACCUCAGGAAGCUCUUUGAUGCAUCAUUUGAGAGCUGAGUUCACUGUUCACCUGCCAAACUAUGAGGAAGACCAUUCAACUGCUCCCUCUUCAAGCUGGGUUGAGGUUGGUGGACCUCAUAAAUGGCAAUCAUGGAGUAAGCAGAUGCUGUUGUUUUUGAGCGAAAGAAGCAGAAAGAGAUGCUUACUUCUCUCAACAAGGAAUGUAUGACAACUAAGGUUGAUUGAGAAUAAAGGGUCAUUGAUGAGUGUCAGUGAUCUUAUAUUUUGAGUCUGCAGCUCUGCGAGAGACUUUUAUGAAGUGAAUCGGUACAUGCAUGCUCUUUGCUCCUUUUUUUUUUGUCAUUUCAUAUAUUUGGUUGUGUUAUUGUGCAAUUUUCUUAGAAAAAUAUUAUUUUAGAUAUUCUUCAAACAGUAUUCUCAUUUUUAGUUUUUUCUUAUAAAUUCAAAAAUUUUGAAAUUAUCGCUCGUUUCUUUUCUUCUCUCCCUCCUUUCUCGUUGUCACCUAUGCCCUUAUCCUCGGUUUGUCACCUUCGAUGCUCCUUUGUUCCUCUCGAAUGUCUUAUCAACGAUAGAGAGGAGAGGAGAUGAUGGGGAAUACAAUGAAAAGAGGAAAGACUAGCGAGAGAGGAGAAAGAAUAUAAUACCUCGAUUAGUCCAUAUCAAAAGUUAAUAAUAUUAAGAUUAUUGAAAAGAAGGAGGAGGAUGAAAAAGGAAGUGGGCAUGACAAGAGAGGAGGAGGAAAAGUUAUGGAUAGACCACGAGCGAGAGGAAGGAGGAAUAGUUUUAGAAUUUUUAAAUUUAGAAAUGAUAUUAUUUUAAAAAAAAUCAAAAGAUGAUGUUAGAAGCAUAUCUAUUUUCUAGAAAAAAAAAAUUAUUAACCGAAAAAAAAAACCAUAGUGUAUUCCACGAGACUGAAUCGAUGUCAUUGUGCAAUCACUUUUGGAUGAAUUCCUAAAAAAAUUCAUACUUUCCUAAAUUUCUCAUAGAUUAUUUAUACUUAAAAAAAAAAUUGAAACAGUACUUCUAGUCUUAUGAAUUGUUUUGCCCCUUCUUUUAUUAACACAUCGUCAUCUUCAUCAUUUUGCCACCACCUACAACCCUUGUACAAGGACUCAUCGUCACUUACAACCCUAUAUCAUGUAAGAUUGGCCUCUUUCGUUGCAACUCUCUUGUGAGGGUUGAUCGUUCUCUUCAAUGCAUGUGGGGUUGUCCUCCAUGAACUUUAAGCAAGCUUUGUUAUCGCAAACUACUAAGUUCCAACGAGAACGAUGGUAGAGACUAAUGGGUUGGGCUAAGCAAAUAGAGUAACCAAUAAAAGGGUAAAAUAUUAUUUUUAGAAAGGACAUCGUUUUAAAAAACUUUAAAAGUAUGUGCCUUUUGUGAGAAAUUUUAAAAAGUAUUAAGUUUUUUUUUUUAAAUAAUUUAUUUUUUUAAUUACUUAAGACUUUUUGUUGUUUGAUAUGUGGAGUAAAGUUUGUGGAAGUCAUUGGAGGUUUUAGAGCAUCCUAAAGUAUAAAGUAAAAAAUAUUAAAAUUUAAAACAUUGAUAAUAUUAAAUUUAAACAUCCUUUGACUUAGAUGAGAUUGGAGUCGAAACACUUAGAAUUUUUUUAUAUAUGCUUCAAAUUUUUUAUCUUUCAUAUAUGUUACUUACAUUAAUAUUCAUCCAAUAAACUUAAAUUAACUAUUAGUAAUCACUAUUAUCAUUGUAUUUUAAAGAAUAUCUAAUAUUUAAUACCUAAAUUCUUUUUUUAUCAGCUCAUCAUGUUUCUCGAUACUUUGAAAGGGUUAUUAGCGUUGAUUUGUCUUUUAACAUAAUUUAUAACUUAAAUAUGGAGUUGUAAANNNNNNNNNNNNNNNNNNNNAUAUAUAUAUAUAUAUAUAUAUAUAGCACCAAUCUUAAGGCACCCUGCACGAGUAACGGAUGCUGAUCACUGGGCGGGUUGCCGCACGCUCGGACCCGAACCCGAUUGCUCUCCAGUCCUUAAACCGGAUCGAUCGGGCCGGCAUUGGAGUCUGGACCGGAAGUCGGCGGAUCGGAUUCUAACCCAUCGUUUACUGGUCUCGAAGCCAAAACAGCAAACGGGAGAAGCUCAUCGAGAUCUUGGUGCGUUCUUCCAGGAGAAGAAAACCGAUCCCCGUCGCCAAAACGAAUUGGUAAUCUCGUUCUCCUCUCCGCGUCAAUCCAGAUCCGCCACCUAUCUCUGGAGGUUGGUCCACAUCCUAGGGUUUGGGGUUGCUCAGACCCGUCGGCCUUCACCUCGGGAUCUUAUUCGAUCCUGUCGUCCUUGUGUUGGAGGACGUCACUAAUUUGAUGCAAUGCUGUAGAAUUUACACAAAGGCGCUCUCCUUUGGUCGCGCUUUAAGCUCUGACGUCGGUUCUGGUUGGGUCUUUCUUGUUCCGUUUGAUGGAACUUUGAUUUUGUGUUUGAUCGUGGACUCUAAUUGUCUUUGCAGACUGUGAUUCGGAUUUAACCGCGUGUUUGGCGGUGAUCGAAUCGAGAGUUGAUGAGACAUGGACAAGUCCAGUGCCUUGGAGUACAUCAAUCAGAUGUUCCCUACAGGUUAGGUGGAUUUACGGUUGUUUAACUAGAGCAUUGGGUUUUUGUUUUGAAUUGAUAAUAUAUAUUUAUAUACAUACGGUCGUGUAUGAAGCCAUUCAAUUGUCGGUGCUCGUUGAUGUGUUACUUCCUAGUUAAACCUUAAAUUCUUUUUUGACCGAGCUAUAACUUGAAAGCCGGAAUUUAAGAAGAAAUUCAAAUCUGGAUCAAAGCUUACUAAUGUUGCAGUUCACUACUUUGCUGUAGUAGCAAGUUUCCCUUUGGCGAAUGCUCCUUACGUUGUUCUAAUCAGGACAUUAAACUGUGAUGCACUGAGCUAGAAGCUAAAGCUGCCAGUGAAAAUGUAUGAUAGAUAGAUUAACUACUGAGAACCAUAUGCGGGUCUGUUUAUGACUUCUAGCAAGAAUUUUUGUAUGUAACAUACAAUUUAGUUUAUUAUUAAUGUGAAUCAGCAUGUAAAUGUUCCAAAGUGCUGUUAAAAUAUUUAUUUCUGUGUAAAACUGGCAUUGUAGAAAAUCUCACACAGAUUUAGUGUAUAGUAAGUGGAACACAAAACUGACAUUGUGAACCAUCUUGUUCAUUUAGAAGCAUCAUUAUUGGGGGUGGAGCCACUUAUGCAGAAGAUACAAAGCGAGAUUCGCCGUGUAGAUGCCAGCAUACUGGCAGCUGUCAGACAACAGGUCUUGCCUGCUUUUGUUCUUCGUAUAUUUUCUUUUUUAUAUUUACUAUUGUCUAGUUUUCUUCAUAUUACUGCCUACUUUACUGUCACCCUUCAUUAUUCAUUAAUGGAAUUCAUACCACAAGCAUUCGAGUGAUCUGGUAUGAAUAUAUAUAUUUUGUGAGGGUAAUGGGACUCAUGGUUAUAUUUGUGCACAUACAGAGUAACUCUGGCACAAAAGCCAAGGAAGAUCUUGCUGCUGCAACACAUGCUGUUCAGGUCCUUAUCUGUCCCUAUAUAUGUUUUUCCUGUGUAUCUCUUAGCAUAAUAUGAGGCAGUUGGUGAUAUCAUUAUUCUUGUCUAUCACUAGUUGAUGUAUAAUGUUAUCCAUAUAAUAGUGGACUUGUCACUGGAAUAGAGAAUCAUUUGAGGCUUGAAGAUGGUUGAUGUUAUCAAAUGCUUUGUUCCUAAAGUACGUUUCUCUUGGUAAACAGGAACUUAUGCACAAGAUACGUGAAAUAAAAACAAAGGCUGAACAAAGUGAAACCAUGGUUCAAGAAAUUUGUCGUGAUAUCAAGAAACUGGACUGCGCUAAGAAGCAUAUAACAACCACAAUUACGGCACUUCAUCGUCUUACCAUGCUAGGUUAGUUCCUCCCCUCCACCCCCCCUCCCUUUUCUUGUUAUCAUUUUUUUGUCUUAUCAUUCUCUGCUAGCUACUACAUGAUGGACUCUUGACCACAAAUCUAAAAGUUUACAUAUCAUAGAAAGUGAAAGUCCAGUUCUUGUUUAACAUACUCUUUUAUUGUCUGAUGGAGCCCAAUUCUUGAAAGUCCAACAAUUAUAAGGUUUUUCCAUUUUCUCUAAAUGUAUCAGUAUUUUUCAGAGAGCUGCUUUUCCGCCCCUCAAAUAAGAUUAGCUAUAUCGCAUUACAAUUGGAAUGUGAUUUGUUGCUUAUGGUUUAAUGAUGCCUUGUGCUUUUAAACUUGGUUUUUGUUUGCAACAACUUUGAUGUUUUUAGACAACAUGAUGUAGUUUAUAACUUUAUAUAUGCUUGUUUACUUUUCUUUACUCUUUUGACACUAUGUAUAGUUAUCCUUUUUUUAGUUUCUCAAAGAAAGAAGAGGAAGAGGAAGGCAUGCAUAUUGUUCUUAGUGACAAGUGUCUAUUGCUUAAUACUUAUUUUAAACUAAUUUUGUUUUAUGAAUUUCUUAGGUUUUUAAACUUUUUAUUUGUUGUUCUCUUUUUCAAAAUUUAUAAUUUUUUUCUAUUGAACUUUGAAAUUAUUUUUGGCUUAAACUGAUUCAAGAAACUAGGCAAGCUGAUUUUGAUAACCCCUUUCCCAAAGUAGUAUAAAUUUCUGUUUUUUGAACCUUAUUUGGUACUAUAGAAGCUUCAUAUGUAUAAACUCAAAGGAUUUUUUUAUACUGGCAUAAGUUCUUGCUAAUUUUCUUAGUGAAUUUAUUGUGCCAAUACUUAUCAGACAGGGUAUGAUGUUAUCUUCCUUUUGAUUUUUUUAAUAUGCAAGCUUUGCUUUUAUUGGCUUGUGAUCAAUUGUACAACAUAAGCAAACUAUGAACAUUGUACUUGCAGUAUCGGCCGUUGAGCAGCUUCAAGUAAUGGCCUCAAAACGCCAAUAUAAGGAGGCUGCUGCACAGUUGGAGGUAAAAUAACUAAAUUUAAUGUUCAUGGAUUUUUUUCUUGGAACUAUAAAUUAGGUUCUUGGUAUUGCUGCUUAAUCUUUGUUCAGAGCUGUACAAUUCUCUCUAAUCUUCUUAAUGGUUAAAACCUUUGAUUUAGAUAAGCUGUCAUUAUAUUUGAUUGCUGUGCCAGUUAUGCUUUUGAACAUUGUAGAAUGUAGACACCACAUCCUGCUCAGUAGAAAAAAGUUUUAGUGGUAGCACAAAACAUAGGCACAUCUAUCUGAAUCUUAAAACAAAAAAUGGCAUCACUGUCUUAAAAUUUAAAUAUUAUUAAGAAUUAACUGAGGUUGAUCUGCUGGUUUUUAAGUUAGCAUUGAAAAGUCUUCUGCAAUUUCUAUUCUAGCUUUGUAAAACUUAAAUAUUUCUUUUGCUCUUGAUUUUUAAAUUAGUAAUUGUCAAAUUGCAAUGUGGAUUAUUAACCUCAUGACUAACAGAAGGCAUAACAUGUUUCCAGGCAGUAAACCAAUUGUGCAGUCACUUUGAAGCUUACAGGGAUAUACCAAAGAUAUCCGAACUCAGAGAGAAGUUCAAGAACAUCAAGAAAAUACUCAAGUCUCAUGUAUUUUCAGACUUUUCAAGGUAGUUGCUGAUUGAUUUUAAUAAACUCUAUUUGGGUUAUUAAUAUAUGUCUUGGGUAUAAGAAUUAAGGAAAUGCUUGAUGAUUAGAACUUACAAGAUCCUGGUUCACAUCUUUAAGUUGAUUAGGUUUUGAACCUAUUAAAGUUCCAAAUUCAUGAUAUUAUUUUUUUUUGAGGAAAAUGAGAUAGAUGGUAAAUUUCUUCAAGUACUUGUCCUGAUGUCCCAUGUGGUUUGGUUAUUAUCAUGGCAUGUGCCUUGCUUUUGUUAAUAUAAUAUUAAGGAGAUUUGGUGAAUAAGGGAUCUAAAGUAACAAAUGAACCACCUAUCCAUGAUUGAAAAAGAAGCAAAACUUUAUUAUUACUAAUGUUAAGCUUGGGACUGUUGGAGUUGUGAUUUCUUUUUUUAUUUUUUUAAAAAUUAUUUUUCUAUUUUUGAGAUAUUUUAAUUUGGGUAUCUCUAGAUGUUAGCAAGUAUACAAAUCUCGGGUCUGGUACUUAAUUCUGUAACCGAUUGAACUGAUACAAUACUGGUGUACAGAAUGAUCAUCAAUCUCAUGUGUUGAUUGAACAAAAUAAUAUAUGUGAACUCAUUCAAUACAUCUUCCUAUCUUUCAGGUACUAUUAGUAUUGGAUGCCUUUCAUCCCCCUAGGCUACUUAGGGGUUCCGUAGGGUCGAGAUACUAACAUUUUGUCAAUGUAUUCACUUGCUAAGAUUCCAUUGCAAUGGCACCCAAAAAUAGGGAGUUUUGGCCCAGUUUCAAUCUCAUUUGAUGUUUGGUUGAUAUUUCAGCUUGUGACUUUUAUUUUACAUGGAUGCAUAUAUAAGAAAAAGUGAGGUUGCUAUGCUACCAUAAGUCUCUCUACCUUGUAACCCAUACAAGAAAACAAAUUAAAACAAAAUGAUGAACUAUUGCACAAACAAAGCUUUUGUCACUACAUGGCUACAUUGAGCAUUCCAUUCUCCUUCAUGUAAACUACAACGACCUUGUAGAUGUGUGCUUAGUUAGAUGCAGAAAUGAUUCCUUUUUGUGCCUAUUGCAUCCUUGGCUCCCAAUUUGCUUCUAAAAUAGGAAAAAAUUGGCAUUUCACCAAGUAUUUCACCUACUUUGUGUUGUUUGGCAACGUGCACUAUUAAUCCAGCAAAAUUCUUUACUAUCAUAUGAAGUUUUGGUGGUUGUGACUUAGUUAAAAGUUAAAACACAUUUUAAAGGGAUAGUGAAUUUGUAUGGUAGGGCUUCAAGCAUCUUGUGUGUAACACUUUGUGCACUCUGAAGUUUAAACCAUGUGGGGAGCUGAACUUUGUAUGAUUGCCUAUCUUCCACUAAUACCACAGAGGCCUUAAUACUUGUGAAAUGAUCCCUUAUGCAUCUAGUGUUAUGAGAACUGAAGGGAUAUUGGUUGGAGUUUGUCUAGCACUAGGUCAUCUAUCUUGAAGUCUUUAGUCCUCCCCUGAGUCAAUCCAUUUCAUAUUUUUAUCGCUCCCGAGUAUUUCAUUAUAUCCCUCAUGAUCAUCUUAGUGGCCUCCACCAUUGAGCAGUGGGUGGGUGCUGCAAUAAAUGUAUCAUACUUCGAGAAUAGAUCAUCUUCCACCAAAAUUGAUAUAAUAAGCAGUUGACAUUUUGGUUAUAUAUUAAAGGUCUAAUAUACUUUCAUAUUUGCAAUUCUCCUGAUGAGAAAGGGCAACGUUCACCGACAAGAGGAACCCAUGGCCACAUACCGGCAUGCAUAGGGGAUCUGAUCUACCAUUCACUAUGUCUAUAAUCCUUAGAGUGAUUAAGACUAUGCUUACCUUUCUUCAUCUCAUUAUUUCAGAAUAUACAAUUUCUUACAUAAAAGCCUGUUAACAUCAAUAUAUGAGUAUUGAUUAUUAUUAUAUAGUCUUGCAGUUUGGGGCUCAUGGAUUCUGUGGCAUUAUUAAAAAAUAAGUGGCAUAGUACACGAGGUACCCAUUAAGAUAGGGUUUAUCAAGGGUUAUAUUUAUGGUACAAUCACUUAAAAGGAGAAGUAAGCUAAGCUGUUUAGGACAUGUUAGUUUUUCCGAAGUUUUGAAUAAGCAAAGUAAAAGUUGGGAAGAAUAUCAGAGUCUGAUACCCAUCAUAUUGAAGUAUUAAGGGUUCAUAAAGGGGCUGCAGUAGCUGGUAGGAAGUUUAUUUUGUGGUUCCUUUGCCUGGCACUAUAUUUCCAGGAGUAUUGUAGGAUAUAUGCAUAUAUAUCCUUUAUCCAAGAUUAAAUUCCCCAUGGUCUUUGCUCAUCAGAUUUCAAGCAUAGUGUCGACUGCAUUAGGAAGUUGAUCAAUGUGCAACUUCAUUCCAGCUUUCUUAACUAUAUAUAAUGAUCUAAGUUGUAAUCAAUAAUUUAUAUGCAUUUGCUUUAAGAUAUUUUUCGGAUGAGUUCGUGUUGUGAAGUUCAAAAUAAAAUGUAUCUAAAUGAGUUUAACAGAGUGGAGGAAAAAGAAUCCAGAACUAAUACAAUUUUUGGCAGAAUGCAAACACAAAUAUUACAAGAAAUGUGAGAUUCAAACAAAUUAAGUAUGGACUUUCAUGCAAGAGUAAAAACUUUUUGUUGAAGAGAAGCAGGGAAGGUUUAAAUAACUAUGACAAAGCUUAUUGAUUAUGCUAGAAAAAUACCUUUAAAAUAAAGGAAUGAUAUGGAAUCAUUUUAUUAUUGUAGUUUAUCUAAUAUAUUUUGUAUGCUUUGGAAUCCCUUGAGAGCAUUUCCUGUAAUAUAUUGCAAAAUAAGUUUGUACAAAAUUUUCUUUACCAUUAGCCUUAGGCUUCCUGUGAACAUCUAGUAAAAGUUUCAAUUAGCAUGCAUUUUUAUUGAUAAAGAGGUCCUUUAAAUCAAAUAUCGACAAAAAAUUGCAGCUUAGGGACUGGAAAAGAGACAGAAGAAACUAAUUUGCUGCAGCAGCUAACAGAUGCUUGCUUGGUUGUUGAUGCGCUGGAACCAUCUGUAAGGGAAGAACUAGUAAGAAACUUCUGCAAUAAGGAGCUCACUUCAUAUCGUCAGAUCUUUGAGGGAGCAGGUUGCUUAAUUAUAGGUUAUGCUAAGUUUUUCUUCCCCAAUCUUCAUUUUCCUGUUCUUGAAAUUGGUUCUUUUGUCACUUCCAUUUCUGACACUAGAAUUAGCAAAAUUGGAUAAGACUGAAAGGAGAUAUGCAUGGAUUAAGCGUCGACUGCGGACAAAUGAGGAAAUUUGGAAGAUUUUCCCUCCUGCAUGGCAUGUUGACUAUCUUCUUUGCAUUCAGUUCUGUAAGCUGACGAGGUUAGUGGCACCUAACCAGCAUUUCAGCUAUCUUGCUUUUACUCUGUUUUCAAAGCGUCCUAUGAUUUUAUCUGAGCUUUGAUAUCUCUUGUUUCCAACAUAGAAUGAAAAUUCUUCUGAAUGAUAUUAAUCACUUAAUUCUUGAAAGUUGAAACCUUUUUUUUCUGACAGAUAGUUAUUUGAAUUUUGAUGUAUCUGUUUUGAUAGUUAUUUUGUUAAUGAUAGUUAUUUUGUUAAUGGUAGUUAUUUUGAUUUAUUAUUAAAUAUAAUUUUCAUUUAUUUGACCCAUCACCAGGUCUGGAAUCUAAAUUUUACUAUAGGUUAAUAUGCAAAAAAUAGCUUAAAUAGAUUAUAAAAAAAGACUCUGAUUUUGUAGUAUUUUACAUUUUCCAAUCAUCUAUAUAUAUUUAUGUAUCUUCCUCUUCUAAUUAAUUUUCAUGGGAAACUGUCACAUAAAAACUUUUCUCAAGUGAGAAGUUAGGAAGAAAGACAAAGGAAGUUGGAUGCCAACUAUCUAACAUAAAGAUAUAUUUGGAAAUAGAAUGAGCUCCACAUCACAUAAUGAAAACAAUGUUUUAGCACAGAAACCAAACUAAUGAGGUAAUACUUAAUAGUACCUUGAAGAAAUAUUACUCCUGGAACUUGGCUGGUCUCUAGGAUUUUGAUAUGUGCUACAUGUAGGAUGUAUUGACAGAUAACUCCUAUGUUCUCUUUUUCAGUGCUCGUCCCAAUCUUGGAUAAAGGAAAACUGCAUCAUCCUACUGACAACCAGCUGAAAACUUUGUUGAAUCUCAUGAACCUGUAUCUUAAUUGAUCUUAUUUCAUUACAGGGCUAGGUUAUACUUGUAAGUGACUUAAGGUAUAUGCAAGGUUCUUGCAUUAUUUUGGAUCAAGGAGAAUCAAGAAGUCUGGGACUUAAGAUCAGACCACUUUAGAAUAUAGGAACAUUUACAGAAGAAUUAAAAUUAGUAUAUACAAAUACAAUAAUCAGAAGUAGAAACAACAUAGUUUGUUUGCAUGAAAUUAAGUGGAUAGAGAAAAUUUAGGGAAUUAUAUGAAAACUUAGAUGCAAUAGUUCAAGAAAUACAUGUCGAUGAUAAGAUUAUAACUGGAGGGGAUAUGAAUGGUCAAAUAGGAUUAUAACUGGAGGGGAUAUGAAUGGUCAAAUAGGAAAAGAAGAUGGAGAAUUUAGAAGAGUUCAUGAUGGGUACGAGUAUGAGAGAAGAACAAGAUGAUCUCAUAAUUGUUAAUACUUAUUUUAAGAAAAAAUCCGAUUACUUAUAAAAGUAGAAAUGUUAUAGUCAGAUGGAUGUUUUUCUUGCUGGAAAGAUGGAUUUCUUUCUCCUAGGAAAGAUGGAUUUAAAUGUAAGGGCUAUAUGAUGUAUGAAGAAAGCUUGUCUAAUCAUCAAAAAUGAUAAUAUUAAAUGUAUCCUUUAGGAAACGGAAGAGAAAAAUCAUGAAUAAUUUUCUAAUUGCAUAGUGAAAUCUAAAUCAUAAUAUCACAAGCCUGUUUAAAGUAGGAUGAAGAAAUAAGGAGUUUGAAACUUGUAAGAAAAUAAUAUUAGUAUUAUGUGUAUGGCUACAAAUUUUAAGAGCAUGUUAAAAUAGUUUCUUGGAGCGUUUAAAGGUGGGAAUCUUGGUUGAAGAGAAAGCUGGUUGUACUGUGAGGAAUCCCAAAAAACGAUUACUACAAAAUAUCAUUCUUUAAAGGCUAGCUGAAUAGUAAGAACAAGGGGAAUUUUAGAAUAUAUACAACUAAGAAGAAGGCUGAAAAAUCUAGUAGUAUAAUUAAAUGUAAAGUUCAUGAUAGUUUUAUAAUAAAAUAGUUGUUAAGGAUUAAGAAAAUAAAAUUUAUUUGAUUGCUAAAGUCAAGGAAAGGAAGAAUAGAGAUUUAAGUAACACUAGAUGAAUAAAUAAAGAAGACCAAAGGGUACUUGUUAAUAUCAUGGAUGUUAAGGAAAGAUGAAGGAAUUACUUUACAAAUUAUUUUGUGAACAUUUUAUAGAUAACCGAGAAUAAUAGAUUUGUUAAAAAAAGUUAAAGAGUAAUUGUUGUAAAGGAGGUUAUCAAGAGGAGAAAAUAAAUGUAAAAGUACAUGAUGAUACCUCUAUUGAGUUUUGGAAGAGUUAUGAGAUUAAGUGAUCGUUUGGUUUAUUAGUUUAUAUAUUAAAAUAUCAAGAAUUAAAAGGUUUUUUGAAGAAUAAAAGAGUGACAUGUUAUUAUACAUUAUAUAAAAUGAGGGAGAUAUUUAACGGCUUGUUCCUAUUUUGUUGGUGGACAUGCUAUUUAAAUGGAUAUUGAUUCUUAAGUAAAUUGUUUCUUGGUAAGUUCGAGGGCCUACUUAGUAUUGAAAUAUACGAUGCAGAUUUUGAAUGACAGGGGAUGGCUUUUUAUUGAUAGUAGCCUCUUCCAGUAAUAUAUAGCCAAUCUUUUUAUAAUGCAUAUUGUUCUUACAUUUCUUUUUUUAUCAUAUUUAACAAGAUAAUUUGACAUAUCUAAUUUUUCAGGAUGCAAAUUGUCGAUAUUCUUAACAAUCUGAAAGAGAAACCAGAUGUUGCAACACUUUUAUUGGUAAUUCUUCAUCUCAUUUUUCAUCAUUGUUGUACUGUUUGUUUCAUUUGGACUUAAUAAUGUUCAACAUUAGUUUUAGGGUCUAUAAGCCACCUAUUAGUAAACUUUGUAUUGGUUUUGAGUUAGUUGAUGCAUAAUAAGAUCAGUUAUCAGGGCAGAAGAUCUUAUUAUCUUAUGUAACUUUUAACCUUCCAUGUUCAUAAAAGCUUCUAACAAAUGAUAAAUAAUUGCCUUCAGUUUAGUAAUAAACUCUUCACAAAUCAUUUCUAUUUUGAUUGUGCUUUGGUGAGGAAAUCUUAUGUGAUAAAAUUUAGAAAGUAAAGAUGUAGUAAUAAAAUUGACAAAAAACUAUAAUAGGUUCAAAAGUUGAAUAUCAAAUUAUCUAAGACUAUGAUAAACAACUAGUUGAUUGAUCAUGUUGUGAAACAUUGUGAUAUAGGACAAAUUUUUUAUACUGAUCUCGCUAAAACUUGGGGAUUAACUCCAAGAAAUGAAGGGCUGGAAUCUUUGUUUAAAAAAUAUUUGAUUGAUAGUUUUCGUUCUUUGUAGAUUCUUUAAUACUUAUGAAACUUCCUUGUAGGGCUGGAAUCUUCAUUCAAGCCUUAAAAUCUUCAAUCUAAGAUAUAUCUCCUUUCUUUUUCUUUGUGAUCUCCAAUAAGAAGAUAAGAUAUGUCUCCAUUUUGUUUUGCUUGACUUCCUUUUUUUCUCUCUUUGGACAACCUUGGUAACCGAUGUAGCAUCAUAGAUGUUGCCAUACAGCAGCUUGUGACAUUUGCAAAAGACCCCUUUAACUAAUGUAAUUUAUUCAAAAGAAAAAUGAAUCAAAAUGGUCUCACAUCACAGUUGUAAGACUUAGGAGGAUUUAUUUUGUGGUAUGUAUAUAAUUAAAUUGAGGUGAUGCUCAAAUCGACUUCUACUUGUGACCAUCCGUGCUAGGUAGACAACCUCAAUUGCAUUAUUUUGUGCCGGAGCUAGCAAUCAAUUGGCAUGCUCAUGCACACAUGCCCAAACAAAGGUGAAUUCUAGGUGAACACCUAGAAAUUAAUAUGUUAUCUUUAGGUAGAGAGAACAAAUGAUUAUGCUUGUAGUUCUGUUUAGUAGUUCCAGCCCCACAUAAGUAGUAAAUCACUUAUCACCUAUAAGUGUGAAGAUUCUGUACUUUUGAGUAGAAGCAAGUGAAUUCAAGUCAAAACAAAGAAUGGCAUUGGUUAUUUAAUUCUGUGUUUCAGCUUGUUUUUCCUUUUAUUGAAAUACAUUUCCUUUUUUGUUAAUCUAAAUUAAUAUGAUCUUACUCUUUGCAUUUCAGGCAUUGCAGAGGACACUUGAGUUUGAGGAAGAGUUGGCUGAAAAAUUCAGCGGAGGAACUGCAAGCACACGGAACAAAGAACUUGGGAAUGAUGUAGAAGAAUCUGGCGAGGGGGAAAGCAACAGGCAAAUUGUCUCAGAUAUUCGGAAGAAAUAUGAAAAAAAGCUUGCUAUGCAACAUGGUGAAGCUGAAACAGUACGCACCAAGACAUUUUUUUCUUGAACUUCCACUUGUGCUUAGCAGUUAGCACCCUAAUUUUCCUUUUCCUUUCCUAGGAAAAGGACAAGCAAAAAGAUUUAUCGGUGCCUGGGGCUGGAGUAAGUAGCUUAGCUUCCUUGGUGACAUCAGGUCCAUGUCUUGCAUUAUCCUGUCUGUAUGAGUUUGGCACUGAUUUUUAUUCACUAUUCUUGCAGUUCAACUUUCGUGGCAUUAUUUCCUCUUGCUUUGAAACACAUUUGGCAGUCUAUGUGGAGUUAGAGGAGAAAACACUUAUGGAACAUUUGGAGAAACUUGUGCAGGUUGUUAAACAAGUUUUAUUCUGUGAAUUCUUCUGGCACUUAACAGUCAUGUUCUAAAACAUGUUUUCUAAUAGGAAGAAACAUGGGAAACUGAAGAGGGAAGUCAGACAAAUAUUUUGUCAAGUAGCAUGCAGGUAUUAUGUUGUUUGUAGAAUUUCCUUUUUUUUUUUGUUGGAACCUCAGCAUGUUUUAGAAGUAACAUGGGAAACUGCCUUGACAUUUUGAAGAAAGAUGCUCUGACAUUUAUUAGGAAGAAACAUGGGAAACUGCUUUGACAUUUCAGUGUUUUAGAAGUUGAAGACUAUGACAGUUUACACGGUCCUUAUAGGUUACUUCUGAAAAUUAUGUGCAGAAAGUUGGACUAUUUUCCAGUUUUUGGAGCACCACUUACAAAAUUCCUUUUACUUAUUUUCUAAUGGCUUUAAUGUUUCAUUCUGUAGUGUAGAUAUUUUUGUUAGAGUUCAUGACCUUAUGGUGGGAGCAAAUAGCUACUUAACUUGCUUUCAUCUCAUUCUGUUGUGAAGAAGUUGGUGAUUGUACCUAAAGGAAAAUAGAACAUGAGAAAUUAUCAGUGUGCUAGUUGAUAAACUAAUUUUGACAUCAAGGACUUCCAUCUUGGCUACCCUCUUAAAUUGGUAUAUACUGGUACCAUAUGUGCUGCUGCUUGGUAUGUGAGGCAUGUUGACAUCAAAAAGAAAAGAACAAAGUGAGAAAAAAGGAAAUAAAAAAGAAAAACACAAUGUUCUUUAUAUAUAGUAAAUAAAGGAGAAAGAAAAAUUGCAAAUGAAAUGUGUAUGUUUCUCACUGCCUGCCGCUUUCUAUUGGGUUCCCAGCAGUGUAGACAUCUAGCAAUGGUUCCUGGUAUGAAGAUUUUGUGCAGAUCCAAAGAUGCCUGUACCUAAUUGGAUCUCAUACUCGAUGAUGUUUCUAGAGAACCAACAAACGACAAAGGUGAGAUGGUCAUCGAAUGGAAAAUUUGCCGCAUGUAGUUGAUAAGUUGUUAGAGGGAGAGACAAGGUUGGUAGAAGGUAAUAGCUUGCAAGGGAUGAAGCAGGUGCUGAGAGAGGGAUCAAGUGGUGACUCGUAAGGGCUCAGUUCACUUAAAGUAGGACUAAAAUGGUGUGUUUUGAUGUGUACAGCCAGGUUUCAUGGUACAUGCGAGAUGUAUUUUUUUGAUUACUUGUCUAAAUUUGUGAUGAAUUUAGGUAUUUUUUUGUCAUAGACAAAUGGAACAUGUGCAAGAGGAAUGCUUUUAUUAAGAUGGAUAUUUAUAUCUCACAUGCGAGAUAUAUCCCAAAGUUUAACUUUACAUCAUGCAUGUCUGACGAUUUUAACUUUUGCAUGCCAUAUGAUGAAGCCACACUAAAAGGACAUUUACAGAACUGAGACAUAAUUAUGGAUUUCCAUAGGGUAAGAAAUCUAUUGCAUUUGUCCUACAUCUCAUAGAAAUUGUAUAGAGCUAUACAGGCUCAUUUUUGGGUAUGCCACUGAACAAAAUGUAAAAACUAGGAGAUGGUAUUCUUUUUUAUUAUGUCAUCAAGACAUAUCUGAACCUAUUGGUUUAGUGGUUCCACAUUGGUGAUAGUCAUGGACAUUAGGAUGAUACAGGAAGGCAGGCAGCAAAUUAAGAAGUAUCAAACUAUCAAUAUUUUUUAGCACAAAAUUGCUGAUCAUAAAUGCAGUAUCCACAUGCUUCGUCCAUCUCUCAACCCAAUGUGUUGAGCAUGGGACAAAAUGAGAUUAGCACAAAGGAAAAGUGAACUUACUUUCUUGGUCUAGAAAAUUUUUUUAUUGUAGAUGAAGUUGAACAAAAUUUUUUUUCACCUUCAGCAUUUAUUACUGCAGGUAUUCUUGAUAAUAAGGAGAAGCUUAAAGCGAUGCAGUGCUUUAACAAAGAAUCAGACACUGUUUAAUUUGUUUGAGGUACCUAUAUUCGUUUUUUAUCCUCAUAGCAAUUCUUGCAGUUGCAUUUCUUGGAAAUGAUAACUUCAUGUCAAGAUAGACCAUUUUAGUGUCAAAUGAACCAUUUGAAAGUUGGCAAAGUAAAACUGUUGAGAGUUGAGGCAAUAAUGUAGUUUCAUUUAAUUUGGUAGCUCUGCAAAAUUAUGAUGUAUUCCACCUACACACCAAGUAUAAUUUCUUCUUUAUAUUAAAACUUCUUGUGCAAAUUCAUUGGAAUGCCAGUAUAAAGGUGUAUGUAUAUGGUAACUUAUAUUACUUGUCUAUGACUUUGUAUUUAGUAGGUAUUUCAAAGAAUUCUGAAAGCAUAUGCAACGAAGCUAUACACUAGAUUGCCCAAAGGUGGUACAGGGCUUGUUGCAGCUGCUACAGGAACAGAUGGACAGAUUAAGGUCAAACCUUUGUUCAUCUCAUUGCCGACAUGGAGGAAUAAUAAUUUCUUUUCUUUGCGCCUUGCUUUUUUACAUUUAAUGCUCACAUGUUUUGUCAAUCACUGCAGACAUCUGAUAGAGAUGAGAGAAUGAUAUGCUACAUUGUGAAUACAGCAGAGUACUGCCACAAAACUGUAUGUUGGCUUUUAUGCUCUCUUAAGACAAAUUUUAUGAGAAUAUUUAAUGGCAUACUGGGGAGGAAUUUGAAUGUCAAACUAUUGAACUCUUAUAGGAAGUCAGAUGUAGUGAAAAAGAGAAAAAAUAUCCAUUAUUUUUAGUUUCUGCUAUAUAACCUUUGUUCCUCCAGCAAUUCCUUGAUUUAUCAGUUCUUAGUCAUGAUCACAGCAAGCAUGUACAUUCAUCUCAUAACAACACCAGCCAUGAGUGAUUGAGAACUACACUCUAUAUUUUAAAUAUCCAUUCUGUGUCAGCAUUGCAAGUUAACAUUACUGUGCUUUGUUGUGACAGUCAGGUGAACUAGCUGAAAAUGUUUCAAAGAUCAUUGAUCCUUCAUUUUCGGACAAGGUGGAUAUGUCAGAAGUUCAGGUAAUAAGUUUUACCUGCUUCAUCUAUGUUCCUUCAAAGCUUUUGGUGUCAAUAAACUCAUGUGCAUUUUAUAUCCAUGAAGGAUGAAUUCUCUGCAGUGAUCACAAAAGCAUUAGUUACAUUAGUCCAUGGACUUGAGACCAAAUUUGAUGCUGAAAUGAUUGCAAUGACACGAGUUCCUUGGGCAAGCCUCGAAAGUGUUGGUGACCAGUCAGAGUAAAGCACUUAACGCUUAGUUAUUCAUUAUUUACUUUUGUACUCUUCAAGCAAAUGCGAUCAUCAAGCAUUAGGUUGUUAAUGGGCAUCGAGUUAAGACUUUUUUGCUGAUCAGAUAGAUAAAGAUUCACAAGUUCCCACUCUUCCUUUAAUCAGAUAGAGUCAAGCCCAUUAAAUCCUUACUUGUGCUUAUAGAGUGUAGCAGUGUGAUAUUGAGCAGAAAAGAAGGCUGGGUGGUUCUUGUUUUAACGUUGAACAAUUCUUAUUAAAAACGUUACUGAUUUUAUGUAUUGAGUUAAGCUGAUCUUUUAUUUGAACCGUAUUUUUAUGCUUUAUUCAUCAAAACUACUUCUGAUCAUACUUGGCAGGUAUGUCAAUGGCAUCAACUCUAUUCUUGCUAGUAGCAUUCCUAUGCUUGGUAGCCUGUUGUCGCCCACUUAUUUCCAGUAUUUCUUGGACAAGGUGAGUGACAAAUUACAUUGGUUGCACAAAUCAAAUGGAACUUUUUACAGUAAUUUUUCCUGGUGGGACUACUGAUUGUGGUGCCAGCAUGAACAAGGAUACUCAUAGAAUUGCUUUGUUACAAGAGCUAAAGUAUGCAACUAACAGGAUCAAGUUCACAUACACUAGUUUUGUAGGUUCACUUAAUUAAGAAAAUUUGUUAUUUUGGAAGCUAAUUUUGGAGAAAAUUUAAACUUAAUGGUUAAUAACAAGUGCUGAAGUUAAUGAAGUGUUGAAGGGGACUGAGUUGUUUGUCUGUGGUUGAGUGUUUGAUGUGUCAGCACAAGUUUUGCAUUUUAAUAGAAAUCACAAUAAUUUAUGAGAUGCUUGUAUCAGGUACAAGUCCACGUUGUUUAACUUUUUGUCUGUAGCUUAUAGUGAAUCAUAUAAUAAGCUGCCAAAUUUGUAUUUCUAUUUCAGGGGAAGUCUGCAUUAGGUCAACUAGCUAGCAAAGCAUGCGAAGGAAGAUUUAAAUACAUUUUUAUAAUGUGUCUGAAAAAACACAUCCAAUUGUGGAUGUUGCCUCUGAGUUCUUAUAAGUUAUAACCCUUUGUGAUUUAGUGAUGUUAGUUGAUUAAAAGCUAAAUAGUGCGCAAAAUUAUGGCCUCCAUUUAUUCUUGUACUUUAUGGAAGAACAAGGUAACUGGUUUGUGGUUGUGGUUGCAUGUUUGAAUCUUUGUGCUUUCCCAAAUAUUGGCAUGGAUAAUUCCUCAUGGGGCCAGUUUGACAUUUCUUAGAAGAGUUAUGCGUAUUUUUGUUUGUAUGUGGACUUGGAAUUAGAAUUCCACUAAGCACAUAUUCUUGUUUAUUUCUUUUCUUGUGGUUUUUUAACCUUUACUUCUUUUCUUUAUUAUAUUGUAUUUGUUCUGAUAACUUAAGUUUCUUUCUACAGCUUGCAGCAUCUCUUGGCCCUCGAUUUUACCUCAAUAUUUUCAAAUGCAAACAUAUAUCAGAAACUGGCGCACAGCAGGUAAUUGAAAUUCCUUGCUGAUUCCUUUAAGCAGACAGCUAGAAAACCAUAAUUUGUAUAUCUUGAUUCACAUUUUUUUGUCUCACUAUGGGAAUUUGUGACUUGAGUACCUUGGUUCUUUAUGCUGUAGAUGCUGCUGGAUACCCAGGCUGUAAAAACAAUCCUUUUGGAGAUUCCUUCUUUAGGGAAGCAGGUAUAUGACUUUAUAGACGUCUUUAUUUAUCAUUUUUAGAUUCUUGAUAGUGUUUCCGGCCAAGUCACAUGAUGCGAGAGGAGACCAUAGUUAUAGAAGGUAUAUUGGCAAUUUGUAAAAUGCCUGCACAUUCAAGGUGGAAUUCAUCAGUUUGUAGUAAAACAAUCCAAGAUAUUUUAGUUAUAAGCAUUGGAUUUCCAGUUCCUUAAACUUGGAAUUUAGAUAUUAACAUUUGCAUUUCUAGCCAUCUACUCUAGCAAAAAAGUAAACCAGUUGGCUAUAUAAGAUUGUUUUGUUUCAGAAUAAUUUCAUACAUGCUUUUUCAAUGGCUAUUUCUCUUUGCCCUUAAACAGACAGCAGUUGCUACUAGCUAUUCAAAAUUUGUUAGUCGUGAAAUGAGUAAAGCUGAAGCACUGUUGAAGGUAUGAAAUUGGCUCUAUUGACAUUAUUUUGACCUGAAGAUCAUAUAAUGGAACUGAAGGAUUAAUCUGUAUUUUUCAGGUUAUAUUAUCUCCCAUUGAUUCUGUUGCAAAUACGUACAGAGCACUGCUUCCUGAGGGAACACCUGCUGAGUUCCAGAGGAUACUUGACCUCAAGGUUCUGUGCUUAAAUAUUAUGCUUCUCACUUGUGUGUUUCUCAAAUAGGUCUUAGUGUACUUUGCAUUAGUCCAUGAAAACCUUCUGGUGAAGAAUUUAAAAUAAAUUGUUAUUUGCGGAGAACAAUAUCCUUGACAACCCCUUUAUUACACUGAAAGUUAUACUAUGAACCCUGAAGCAACUUUUGGUAACUAAACACUAUUUGCAGAAAUUCAAAGUGAACUCCACUUUGGUGCCAAUUCUUUUUACAUUUGGUGAAACAAAUGGGCCCUUAGAAUCAUUAUCUUUGAGCAAAACAAUUAGCUGUUAACUUAUGAUUUUAUAGAAUUUAGCUGUUUUGUUCCCUCAAUCACUUCUAAAUAUGAUUAGUCAGGUCAUAACACAAACUUCUCUCUCUCUCUCUCUCUCUCUCUAUCUAUCUAUCUCUCUUCUUCUUAUUCUUCUUCUGCUGCUGCUGCUGCUGAUAUAGGAGGCUGUGUUCUGUUAUCUGUUACGUCACUUUAAAAUGACUACAGUAAACAUAAUUUUUAACUGAUGAUGGAUGCCACAUCUUAACAUUCGACAAUCUUCUUGUAUAGGAUUUUAGGAAAUGCCAAAUUGAUAUUCUUUUCUUUGAUGGCAACCUUCCAAAGUCUUAAGAAACAAUGAAAUCUAAUGUAACUUGCUUCUGCUAUGCAUCUGAUUGUUUUAGUUUUGUUGCAGGGCUUAAAGAAAGCAGACCAACAAGCUAUACUUGAUGAUUUCAACAAGCAAAACUCAUCAAUCAGACACCCAUCUGUGGCUCCAUCAGUAGCCAUCCCAUCUGCUCCACCUGCACCAGCUGCCCCACCUUUAACAGCCACAUCUACAACUUCCACGUCUACUCUCUCAUCCAAUACUUCUGCCUCUGUUGCUAUUGCAUCCCGAGAAGAUGUGCUCACUCGGGCUGCAGCUCUUGGAAGGGGAGCUGCUACAACUGGUUUCAAGAGGUUCCUUGCCUUAACAGAAGCUGCCAAGGACAGGAAAGAUGGACCCUUCCGGAAACUCUUCAAUCCUUAGUGCUUUCAUUUUCUUAAUUUCUUUUCCCCCUGUCUACCUUUUUGAGUAUAUGCCUAUAUGGUGUUUAUUCUUAACAGACGCAGAAGGUCCAAGUUAGGGUUCUAUGGAAACUUUGUUUAUGUUACUUUGUGCCAUAAGCUGCCAGAAGCAUUGUUGCCCUUCUCCUUACAUGUUCUGACAUAUUUUCUGAACUAUUGCAAUGAGUAUUAGAUUGGAAUGCAUUCAUGACUACCAUAAAUGAGUAUCUCAGCCAUAAACAAGAGUUGGAGUUUUUGCCUUCUGUUAAAAAUAAAGAUCCAUAUUAUUUUGAAGUUGAUACUCUCUUGCCAGAUGAAGUGCGGUCUAUGGUGUCAGUGGCUAACCAUAGUAGAAGACUGAAUGCUCUCAUGAUUUAUCUCUAAAGUUUUUAUUUAAUGGUUUAAGAUACAUUUGCAUUUGUACUAUUAAGGGCAGUUGCCUUAGCUCAAUAACAUGGCAUGCAUUCUGGUCCACAGAGCGCAUGCAGUUUUCAAUUUUUCUUUUUAUAUGUACUCCUACAUAUUUUAGCAAGGUCUAAAGAAGACCACAUUUCAGAUUUCUUCAGGCAGCCAUAUUCACAGUAGAGAUGUUGUCAUAAGCAACAAGAAAAAUUAAACACAAAUGCAAAUACAUGGCCAAAUGACAAGGAGGGCAGAUACCUUCAGCUGUGAUGUUCUUGUUGGCAGAUGUAAUGCAAAGACAACGAUUGGUCUAUGGCAAUCAAUUUCGCCUUGAAAGGGUAAACAGGUUUUCUGACUUGAAUAAGCAUUACUUCAUUUUCUGUCAUCUACUCUAGAGAAUAAUUCUGCGGUGCUUUUUCAUUGACUUUUUCCUCCUCCUAUAUUGACUCUUAGGUACCACCAUUGUAUGACCAAAAUAUUAUGGCAUGAUUGUUUUUGUGCAGUUUGUAUUUAUGACCAAAAUUCAAGACUUUGUUUUUCUUCAAUGUUAGUGUUGUGUUAAUGGGAAAAACUGAUACAUGAUUUUAGAUAUGUUGUUUGAUUUUGUUUUACUUACUAUCUGGUUAUGAUGUUACAAUGAUGAACUUAUCCAUUGUUCUCUUGGUAUAUAUUCUUGUGGUGUUCUGCAUUGUUUGAAGCAAAGUGAAAUUCAUUGCUUAUGUUUAUCAUUUGUCAUGUUUGAAAACCACAAUUAUUAGUGUUUAUGUAUGGUUAUUUGAGUAUGAGCUCCUCAAGUGAUUUAUGGUUAUGUGAAUAUUAGCUCCUCAAGCUGUGAUACAAUUCUGUUGAUAUGUUCUGGCAAAAUCUUUAAUAUUUUUUAAUGAAAAAUGUUGUGCUAAGCUAAUAACAAACUUUUUGAGGACUAAGUGGUUUCGUAUAUUAAAUUUGUUUAAUACAAUUUCAUUUUCAGACUCCAUGUUCUGAAUCUUACUAUCUCUAUUCUAAAAUACCUUAGUUCAUAAAGAUUGUUCUAAAAUUUUCUGUAGGAGAAUGACUGAUAAAUCGACUGGCUGAUCCAUAGACAUUCUGAUAUGAUUGCUGCCUUGAGAAUUUUCCUGAAAGAAGUUCCUGUGGUAACUGAUUAAGAUGAUCCAAUGGAAGGUUUGAUACUUUAUGCAACAAUGCCUUUUAAGUCUCAUGUCAAGUGCCAUAUCUUUGGCUGGUAACAUCAUCUGCAAGAUUACCAAUGAGCUGUGGAUUUUUCUUACUGCAUGGCAGACCAUUAAAUGACUGCAUUUACCAACUCAAGUUACUUUUUUCUUAUAAGCUUUACAAUGAACAUAUUCUGAGAAGGGUUAGGCAUGGCGAUAGAUACACACUUCUAAGCCAGCUCCUGAAACCAAUUUAUAUGUUGAGAAUGCUUUCUGCCAUCUAUUUUUCAGACAAGACUAGUGUUUUUUUGAAGAAUGUAUUGGUCUUUUGGAAUGGUUUGUCAGGCUGCAACUUUUCUACCAACAUUUCAGAAGUCAGCUUUAUGGAGGCCAAAUUGGAUUUUGGUGAGCCGAAAUAUCCUCUUAGUACUAAAAGUAUUCUUGUGUGAUGCCUGUCACAGCAACCAUUACUAUCAAAUGCAAUUUACUUGAAGGUAGAAAGAUUCUUACCAAUGGUACCUUCUUCAUAAUUGCCUUAUAUUUUCAGACUGUGGUGGAAGCAACCACCAUAAUUAUCUGGAAGAUAGUGCAUGUAUAGCCAUGCUGAAGUUGGAAAAUUGCCACCAAAGCUGGAAAACCCCCCCCCCUAGUAGAGGUAUUAUCAUGUUCCUUCUUCUUCUUUUACUUGUUUGUUUGUUAUGUAUAUAUGUAUAUAUGUAUAUGUAUGUGUGUGUAUAUAUAUAUAUAUAUAGUAAUCUCGAUACAUAAUGACACAGUUAUUAGAGUGGAACUAAAUAUCCAUUUGAUCAAGUGUCCGAUCAUUGGAUCAAUUGAUCUAAUUGUUGUGUCAAGUGGUUAGAUUAUAAGAUUAAUAAUUUUUAUGCAAAUAAUGUGCAGCUUAUAAUUAUUUUUAUAAUAAAUUAAAUAUUAAUUUUUUUUUAAUAUAAUACCUGUAUGAAUAUAAUGGACCCGAUUAGUCAAACAAAUAAGAGGAGAGUAGAGGAAAAAAAAGAGUAGGGUGAUGAGAGAUAGAAACAGAAGCAGAAGAGGAAGAAAAUUCAAUUAUGAUAAAAAAGAAAUAGUUAAAAUUGAAAGAGAGGACGAAGAAGAUGAUAGAGGAGGACAAUGAUAAGAUAAGAUGGAUGAUGGGGGGGAGGACAAGUGCAGACACUGAGGGGGAUGAGUUUCUCUUUUAUUCAUUUAAUUUAUAAAUACUUACUUUUUUCUUUAAAAAAUAAAUAUCUUUAAAGCUCAAUUGGUAAUAUGAUCUAACAAGGAGUCUGUUUCUCGAAUUAUUAGGUUCGAUCGGCCGGCCUGAUCUAGAAUUUUCGACUAUGCUUAAUUGAGAUCAGACUGUAAUGUCUAAACAUGAUUUUUCUUGAAGUAGUUUAAUUGUAUGUAGAAUCAAAAUACUCGAACAUAUUUAUAACCAUCGUUAUCAUCGUAGAAGCGAUAUUAGUAUCAUCGUGAAUUUUAUUUUAUUGAAGCGAUAGCUACUGAAGGAGAUUAAUAAUAAUUAUAUGUGUGAGUGUCAAUCUUUCAAUUUUAGAAGCAUACAGACACAAAUAUAUAUAUAUAUGUAAUAUUGUAAAAUAAAAAAAAGUCUGGAUAAAUAAGAUUAACUUGCAUUAUGUGCAAGUUAAAACAACAGAGAUAAGUGAACCUAAGCAUAAGGAGCAAUAGAUAUUGUGUUUCUUAGAUAUGCGGUUUAGGCAACAGAUGGGAAGAAGACAGACCUAUAUAUAGAGUCAUAAGAAAAGUUUACAGCUUCUCUGUGCUCUGAUGAACUGUGGUGAUGAUGUUCUAGUAGUAACCUCACUAUAUGCUGCAGCACAGUAGAAAACAUAGGUGAAAUGCAGUGUGUUUGUGAGAGAGAAGAAAAGGCAUGCAAGAAGACAUAACCAUAUACAUCAUCACGAUCGAAACCUCGGCCUCUUUGGUUCGUACCUCCACAAGGUGCUGCAGCAAAGUAGAAAACGAAUGUGAAAUGCUGUUAGAGAGUGAGAGGAAAGGGAAGAAGAUUGAACUGUCUUCUUUUGCUUUGUUGGGAGUCAUAGCUCCACAAAACGCUGUAAGAAAAAGCAGAAAACAGUCUGAAGUGUUUGUGUGUGUGAGUAUGAGAGAGAAGAAAAGCAUGGAUGGAAGAUACAAGUGUACAUCACGAUCGAUAUCCAGCCUCUUUUGCUGUGAUGAAUUUGCGCUGAUGCUGCUCCUCAUAGCUUCACAAGAUGCUGUAGAAAAGGCAGCAAAGCAAUCGUGAAGUGUUUCUGUGUGUGUGUAUGUGAGAGAGAGAGAGAGAGAGAGAGAGAGAGAGAGAGAGAGAGAGAGAGAGAGAGAGANNNNNNNNNNNNNNNNNNNNGAGAGAGAGAGAGAGAGAGAGAGAGAGAGAGAGAGAGAGAGAGAGAGGGAGAACCAUGCUUGGCUCCUCGCACGCCAUCCGCAGUAGCCAAUCGAUAGUUUUGAUUGGUAACUACGCGAGUGGCAUACAGGGAGCCAGGCAUAGUCUAUUUCACCUCUUCUUCUACAUCCAAAACCCUUCAACACAGGGCAGGGAGAUGGAGAAGGGUGUACGUAAUCCAUGCUUCUUCAUAUAGAUCGUGUGCAUGUCACAAGAACACACCAAGAGAUACCUGUCCAGCUUCCAACGACAACACAAGCACAAGCCUAAAAGAGACUCGCAGACUUUGCAGCCAGGGAAACCCUAAGCUAGUGUGUCUGUCUUGUUGAGCUAGGAGAAGGGUGAUGUUGUAGGGUUAUAUGUACAUAUAUAUAUAUAUAUAGAUAGCAGUGAAUCCCAGCUGACAUAUAUUAAUAAUAACACAGUAAAUAAACCUGUCCAGCAUCCAGCUAUAGUUGUCACAACAAGUAUAGCUGGAUCAAGUGGUGAGAUUCAAGAGUUGGAGUGAGAAGCAUGUUGGAAGAAGAACAAGAUGGUGGCUGCCACAUGGGCACUGAUUUCCAAGGUUAAUUAUUCUCUGGAUCUACAUAUCUUGUGAGGGGACUUGGAUUUUGUUAUGCUGUACGUGCUCUCUUUUCAGUCUUUUGAUCUGGGAGUUUGUCUGGAGUGCUUGGACCCAACAUAGAUUCUCCUGCCAACCUUAUUCUCCAAUCAAAAACCUUCAACUCCAGGUUGUUUCCCUCUCUCUCUCUCUCUCUCUCUCUUGUUCCUCAAGGAGUUGCAUGAACUUUCCCACUAAAUCUACAUACCUCAUGAAAUGUCCCUACACUUGCUCAACAUAGGAAGGCAACGAAAUAUACAAUCUCUUAAUGCGACUCCUAAUCUUUCAUUUAAUGCUUUCAUGGGGAAAGGUCAAAUGGGCACAUUCUUACAAGGGAAAACAUCAUGCAAAAUGAGGUUCUAAACUGAUUGUCAACCUGAGAGAAAGAUAACAAAGACUACUUCACACUCAAACCUUGAUGUGGAAGAUAGAGCAUAUCAUGUAAAUGAUAUAAACCACUCAGUAAAAUAGUGCAUUAUUUAAGUUUAGUUUGAUCCAACUUGCAAUUGGUUCCCUUUUCCUCUUAUUCUUUCUCAAGCUCACAAAAAGGGAGUACAUAAUAACAAACACUCUUUGCAAAGCAAAUCAUGUUUCUAAAAACAUGUAAUUGCCUAAAACUUAGAAACACAUGAUUAGAGUUCAUCCAAGUUAAGACCUGACUUUGGUGGCAGAUUAGAUGAGUUCAGGCUAACCACACUAUACAUCUCACAACUAUUUUUUCAAACAUCCACCUUUUUGAUGGACACUUAUUCUUAAAAAAAAAGACAAAGAAUCAUAAAAAGAAAAUCAACAUAGUACUUAACACCUGUUGUAACAUAUGAAAAGUUCAUGCAAUUCUUGAGCUGGGUUUUUAGUUCCUGGUUGAAAUGCAGCAAAUCAGGCUGCUUUUGUGAACUGUAAAUUACAAACCUUAGGUUAUAAUUCGAUUCUACGUUUGAUUCUUCUGAUUUUGAUUUCCAACAUCUACUGAUAGUCAUUUGUAUCAGCUUAAAUCUCCUCUUUUUUUUUUCUUUUCUCCUCUGUUGCUUUCUGUGUAGAAAUGCAUGAUAUAGAGUAUGCUUCCUGAGUUCCAGACAUGGCUGUAGUUGUUGAGAACUCAAGGACAUUGAAUGGAACCUUUUGCUUGCGGACUUUAAAUUUCUGAGCCAAGUGAAAAGUUUGUGUGUUGAAGGUGAGCAAUGCUGUGGUUGGAGUGACCACAGGGAAGAUAAUGACUGUUUAUUCUUGUUCUAUACUUGUUUUCCUCACAUGAUGCUGAUUUUUUUUCCAUGGAUUUCAGUUCUCUUUGGAAAAGUUACUUCUUAACACUACUCUAAUCAAUCCUGUGGUUGAAUUAUCAUUUCCUCCCUGGAUUCAAGCUGAGAGAGCUCCUUCAGCUCAUAAAAUGGUUUUGAAACUAUGCUCUCAGUUUCAUGAAAACAGGUCUAAACAACAUGUCUGACUCAAUCAUUCAUCAAAGGAACCAGUAUGGCAUAGGAGGUAGCUUCUUCUAAUUGAUGUGGGUGUUCUUUGCUAGUUGGUCAGGAUUGGAACCUCUCAUGCUUUGCAGCUACUAAAUCUUUUAAUUGGAAAAGUAAAAGGCCCAUGAACACAUCACCAAUAUGUCUCUUGCUUGUGUUGUUGGUGGAUAUAUUAGAUCCAGUGACAGCUACUGAUGCUUAUAAAACUCAAAAAGAAAUGGGGAAACAGUAGCACUUGUCAUAGUAGGGAAAACCAAGUGCAACUCCCUUCUUAGACCUCAGUUUUCACCUAUCAGGCCAUGACUUUCCUCCUGAACCUAUCAGUUGAAUUCCCAAAACAUGUAAUCUCACCAUGCCAAACUUGCAGCCUAGCCUUUGUCCCAAGAAUGCUUCUUUUGAUGCUAGAAUGAUGUCAAUGUUCCUUCUAUUUGCUCUUAGCAGUGCAACAAUCUUCUUUCUCCUUCUCCUGACUGAUUGGCUUCUGCUUGGACUAGUUAAUGAGUUAGGUUUAGACUGUCAUGUAGAUUAGGAUGGCUUGAAUAGGACUACUCCCUCCACUGAAUAGUUGGUUCUAACAAAAAUUUGAAAAGGUCACUGUUAGGCCAAACACCAGAAUCGUAUUCCAGCUUGAAGGAGUGGCCAAUCUUCCAGUAGGUUUGUCCAUAUUCAAGCUUUAUGUCACAGCCUCAAAGUGAACUGAUACAUGGAAUCAUCCUGAAAGUUCACUAAAGAGCAGUGGUUUAUAGACAUGGGUAGUUGGACAGGUGAUGUUGGCACUAGUUUGGCAACACUGGUCACUUGCAAGCAAGAUGGAUUCCAAUCUAUGAUAGAUUUGCAUUAAAUAAAUAAACCUACCAACAAUUUUUCACAUGGUUUGGCAGUCAUCCAAGUUUGACAUGGUGUCAUGGUAGAAGAUUAUGUAUGUAUCCUCUAAUUCUGUCAGCAGGUUUUGGUGGAAGCUUUAAGCUUUUUUAAAGCAUUUGAUAGUGGAUAAAACUUGACAUGAUUCACAUCUUGAGCUUCAUUCAGAUCUUCCAUUUGGAUCAUUGAAGAGCCAUACAGUUUAACAUGAUUCACAUCAUGUUUGCUGAGGUCCAUGGUUCUACUAUAAUCAGAGGCAUAAAUCACAACCUAGUUACUAUUUUGACCAAGAUGGAACUUGUGGAAUCUCCCUCAAUGAUUGGAAUCUUCUUCUCUUUGGAUGGUUUGGCACAAUUUGCUUGGAUUCAUCACCUCACUAGUCUAUUGGAGAAUCAAUCUUCUUUAACAUGGUAGGUCAAUUAUGUAGAAUUUCCCAAAACUUCUUAAUGUUAUUUCUGGCACUGAUUCUAUUACCUACAGAGAAAGUUCACAGCUUAGAAGUUGGCCUUCAGCAGCUUUCAUUAAUCUCAGUCCAUUAAAUAUGAGGCAAGUAGGAUUUGGGUGACACCAAUUUCAACAUAUUCUUUAGCUGUAAGCUUGUGGAUGAUUGAGGAAAACCUGCACAUAAUCACAAACAAAUGAAAACAAAUAGGCUGUUGAGGAAGAUGGUGAGAACCAAUUGAGCUGGACCAUCUCAUCAGGCUUUUAAUGUCAGCAAAUCUGCAUUCAGAUUUCACAAUAACAUUGAGUAGUUGAUUGACACAUCAUGAUAAAUGCAUUAAAUGGUGAGGCCCAAAUGAUAGAUAAUCUAAGGCUAUAAUAUUUCAUCAUCUGCUUGUUUUGUUCUGACCCCAUAUGAUUGCAUCUCCCUUGUUAAUGUCACUGUUAGAAGGUAUUAGAAAGUAUUUGCUGCAUUAGACUAUGGUAUUAAGCUUAGACCAUAUCUAGUCUUAGAAGCUUAGAACAUAACAUAUAUUGUCCUCUUUUAGAAGUGAGCAUGUGGUUCAUCUCACUUUAACAGGUUAGAUCUAAAAACAGAGGAAACCUCAAAGAUUUGUGGUAUGAAUAAUCUGUAAGGAAAAAAUUUGCUGCAUCAUUGGCAGAGAAUUAAAAUGCUGUAACCUUUGUAACUAUUGGUUGUUUAUAACACUGUGUUCUUUGAAGUGUAUUUGAAUUGACAAAGAUAAUACUCAAUUCAUAGUAAUUCUCUUACAUUUGUUGUCUCUGAAUUAUUUGGUGACAAGCAGAAAAUGUGUCAAAAUAUAAAGGGAUAAUCCAUCUGGAUCAAGUCAUUUUUUCUUUGAGGUAACUUCAAGUACAUCAAUCCAGUAUACUUAGAGCACAUGUAAAUUUGGUAUGCAGUUCCAAUUCUGCAAAACAACCAUAAUUGAUCACACUAAAUUUUGACAUGACAACCAAAUUACAAGUCCAGUGUAUGUAAACAAACAUACAAAUAAUUUAUAUGUAACACAGAAUCAAGAGGAGGCUUUCUGCAUCUGACCUUGGUAGCCUUUCCAUUAAACCUGUGCCAGCUGGUGUCAUUUCCCAUUAAUCAUCAACCUCACUCUUCUUCUGUCUCAGUAACAUUUGUGUUGAGAUGCCCAUUAAGCUUAUCCACCAUAAACAAAAAAGAAAGCUUCCUAUAUUGCAUGGAACAGGAACUUAUAAUAACUGGACAUGUAUGUGGGCAACUUGGAAUGAGUGAUAUAAAUAGGAGGUAUAUUCUUGUUCUAAUUGCUCACCAACCUCAUCAAAACCUCAAAAAGGAUUCCAUGUUGAUGCCAGAGACCUCUGUGUUAAGUAAGCCCCCAAACUCCCUUCACCAAAAUUUGGCACCACCUCUCCCUUUGGGUCAUCCUCCAGCUUGGUGAGGUUGUUCAGAACUGAUCUCAGGACCUUCCUGUCACCAGUGAGAUGAUUCAAUCCAGAGCUUGGGUCAGGCAAGCCACCUGUUUGUGCCAAGCAUCUUGGUAGGGGCAUGUCCCUCUCCACUGGGGGCAGGUGUGGGGCCAAGUUUGGGGCUGUGCUGGAGAAGCAGGGCACCUGCUCAAACCCCUCCAAGUUGAGUGGGGUUUGGUCAAGGGUGAUGUAGUUGUCCAUCAGAGCAGGGAGGGAUUGGGGGCUUGAAUCAUCAUGGCUUGUCUCCAUGCUUGGCUUGGUGGACAUCCCUCUGCUCUUGUAGAACACUCUACAUAGGACCCAAUCUUCCUGCUUGCACAAUCAAAAAGGAAGUGUCAUAGUCCAUGUGCUGAAAGUACUGACUCAAACUUGAGAAAUCUCAAAGCUUUGUGAUGAACAGUGUAUAGAAUUAACUAUUUUGGCAGUCGAGCACUUCAGUCGACCUCCUUCCAUUCAGAUAUUGUGUUGAAGAUGAAACAGAAUUAGCAUGGUGAGAAAAAAUUAGCAACUUGUUCUACUCCAGAACUCAAGUCAGAGAUUUAUUAGGGGAAACUGAUUCUUGAAGCUUUGAGAUGAUUAAAUUCCAGAAUACAGUAAAAAACAAUUGUGCCAAUUUGUGAUCUGCUUCCUUUUCAUUUUUCUUGUUCUUUAGCUCCACUAGUGUCUUAUAAUUCAUCCCACUGUUCCAACUCUAAUUAGAUUCAUUGGGCAGAAGAGAUGCAUGAUCUAAUCAAUGUAAAUAUCUUAAUCUUCUUGUCAUAUUUUAAUUUAUGUGCAAAAAAAGCUUUUAGAUUGUUUGGUUAAGAAUCUAAGCUCCUAACAGGGGAUUCCACAAAGAUGUAUUGUAUGCCUAGCAUCUCUUACUAGCUAAAACAACCCACAGAAUGAUCAUCCUCCCUGUCAAAAACCAAUUUUCUAUUAAGCCAAAAGAUCAAUUCAUCCAACAAGACCAGUGAUUAGAAAGCACCAAAAACAAUUACAGUAAGAACAGUACAUAUAGCAGAGAGAUGUCUUUGGAGAUUCUCCCUGUCUACUAAUUUUCUUUAAGCCAAAAGAUCAAUUUAUCUAACAAGAUAAUUAAUUAGAGAGAGAGAGAGAGAGGAUAGAUUGUGCUCGCUGCAGAAAAGUGAUAAGGUCUAAAGAGUCGAGAUCAAAAGGUCACCUUGAAGGGCAAGUUUGGAGUUGCAGCAGAUUCUUCCAUGCGGUAUUCAUGCAUGACCCACUCCGUCUUCUUGCCCUUGGGAGCUCUUCCUUGAUAGAACACCAAAGUCUUCCUCAUUCCCACAAGGAAUCCCUUCCGAGCCACCGAUCGAUCCUUCCCGGUCGCUUUCCAGUAGCCUGACAUGGUGGCGCGAUUGGUUCGCUGCCCCGUCGCGUACUUUCGAUCUCGGAGACUGAAGAAGUACCACUCCUUGCCCCCGACACAUGCAGUAGCUGAUCCACCAGAAAAAUUCACCAAGUGAGGAGCUUGUGGAUGGGAAUGCAAAGGCAAGUUGCAGUGGGAUCAAACUCCAUGACAGAGAGAGAUCGCUCAUCAUGGCGUCCCGAUGGCUGGUGGAUUGGCACAUCGACGUCCCAAAGAAGCGUCGAUGUGUCAGCAUCAAGCGGGGUGGACGAACACGUGUGUGGUCCACUGGAGGUCGACGAACACACUCUCUCGAAUGGACAUUUAGUGCCGUGAAUCCAUGGACGUGCUCAGAAAGCAUUCUUUCAGCUAAAAGACCAGAUUUUGCAGCAGGUUAAGGUGAGAAAGCCAACGCCUUGUUUCCUCUCUUCUCUCCCAAAAGCGAAGUCGAGAUGUGGAAAGAAGGAAUAAAAGGCAUGAGGAGGUUAACAAGUGGUGGAAGCUUUCUCUUUCUGUUCUCCUCCUUGUCUAAGCUUCUGAUUCAUCUCUCAUCACGAUAUGGGCAGAAGGAAUAAUCCAUAAAGAGAUGGCGGUCAACAUGAAGCAACAGAACACAUGAAAAGGUUGGAAAGUAAGGGGGAAAGCUUCGUGCAAGAACAAUUUCCGUUGUUGGGAAGGCCAAAAAGGACAGCCAUGGAGAGCGAGGUGAAGGGAAACGGAACACAGACUCCUGCAUGCAAGCAUGGCAGCCAUGGGAGGGUAGAAGAAGAUGAAGAAGAUCCAAGCAAUUCAUGACGGCUAAAACAUGAUCAUGCAACACCAAUUUCGACAGGCCCAUAUGGAAUAUGAUGCCGAGGGAUGACAACUGACCGGGGAGAUCCCAAGGUUCGCACUUGUUGAGGUCGACGUCCUCCACCAUGAUGGGCCAGCCACGGAAGCCGACGCCGCCGUCUCCGGCGAGCUUGGCCGCGAGGUAGUCGCAGAUGAGCUCUUCGUCCCUCGGGUGGAAUCUGAAGCCCGGAGGUAGCUUCGCCUCCACCAUGCUCAAGAUGCUCAUGGUGGCGUCGAUGACAGGGAGCUCACAGACUGCAACCAUGGGGUAUAUAUAUUAGUACAGGGGGGGGAAGAAGAUUGGGUAAUGUAUUAAUUAAUAGGGGCAAUAAGUCAACUUUUCAAGGGGAAUGAAUGCAGCCUUAAUCUUUUUUUUUCUCAUUUUCUUAUUUUUUUCUUCUCAAGAAAAACAAAAAACAAAAAACUCAUCCUUCUUACUUGGCAUGCUGACAUGGCCCGCGAGACUUUGUUUCUCGGAAAAAAAAAAGAUUUUACUAUCAAGAUCUUUAUCGGCUAAAUUAAAUAGUAUCAUGAAAUCAAUGCAAUCCACAAUUAUUUUUUUGAUAAUUGAAAGAAGGAAAGUGGCCAUUCAUACUUGUCAUCCUGCAUAGUGGGAUAUGACACAGGAGUAGUUGCUCAAUUUGCUUGCUUCUGGGUUCAACAUCACCACCAGUGUUGAUCACUAGCAGUUGAACCACUAGUAUUCUCACUACAUCGCAUUCACAGACACAGAUUUGAAUGGUUAAGCAGUGGAAUGAAAAAUGUCAAUCACACAUUCAGAAUGAUUUUUAAGGAUAAGUCACAAGUUACAAUCCAUCAGAAAGUAGAAUCCAGUUUUGAUUACAAGAAAUUGUGUGUUGUCGUGACUUUGGCAUCCGAGCACACCUGUCCUCAGUGUUGUCGUCUAAUGGAAGAUGAAAGGGGCCAUCACCCAUCCAGCAGAGGUGGAAGAUGAACCUAAGCAGUUUGGACAAUGUCUGAUGCUUGUGGCCAUGGCUCUGCAUAAAAAUCCAUGAUGCUCCAAUCACAUGGCACAGCAAUGGCAGGGAGCCAGGUGGCCUGCACCAGCCAGCCAUCAUCCAUCCCCAUCCUGAUUAACCGAUCAAGAUCAGUGACACACAAACAGAAGACAGCAUCGAUCCAACGGUUUCAGGCGUCAGUGAAGGCAUCUCCAGAAAGCGAAGAGCGGUUCCAGGAGCAGUAUCAGCUUGGAAGAGAAAGAAGAGUGUCCAUGCCCAUGUCAGCUGGGAUGAGAUCAGUCCAAGUGUAGUCUCUGUUACACAAAAGUGAUGAGAAGAUGACUCCAGCUCGCAAAGAGAUAAGGUUUGAGGUGAUUCUUACCUUGGUAGUGUUCGGUCGGUUUGAAUAGUCUCCAAAACAAUAGCUGCCAGUCCUUUCUCCCAUCCCUAUGAUAGCUCCAUUGCUGUCAGGUAGUAGUGAAGGUAACAUGGCCAAUCCAAAAGACCCUGAUUUGCCAAAACCAUUAUUGGAUGGUGAAAGAUUUACCUAGUGCAGCCUAUCGGAUGGGCAACCACAUUAACAGCUUGCUAGGAAUCAGACCAUAGAAAAUGCGCUCCAGGUCCUGGUCAAACCUGUCAUCAGCCACUAGUCAGAGAGACUUUUCAGUUACCUUCCCAUAAGUGAUCAAAAUUUCAGAAAAAUAUACCCACACUUCACCAUUACUUUAAAUCAACUUUUAAGAUGAUUCCUUAGAUCUAUCAUGCAUAUCACAACUUUUUCCUAUUAAAAACCUUACGGAGCAAGAUUUCUACUUUGGAUUUGCUUGCCUCACUUGGCACUUGAGUAUGCUCGACUUUUAUAGAGAGAUCAAUAGCUCCAGCGAACAAUAAAGUUGCUGAUGUAUCAACCAAUUUUUUUAGGACAUCUGGUUCCACUCAGGAAAAUCGAAUCCCUAAUAAUCUAGUAGAUAUUUUCACUCUCAUCUAUUGCAUCUAUCCUAUAACUAAUGAAGUCUACUUCCUUAUAUAUANNNNNNNNNNNNNNNNNNNNNNNNNNNNNNNNNNNNNNNNNNNNNNNNNNNNNNNNNNNNNNNNNNNNNNNNNNNNNNNNNNNNNNNNNNNNNNNNNNNNNNNNNNNNNNNNNNNNNNNNNNNNNNNNNNNNNNNNNNNNNNNNNNNNNNNNNNNNNNNNNNNNNNNNNNNNNNNNNNNNNNNNNNNNNNNNNNNNNNNNNNNNNNNNNNNNNNNNNNNNNNNNNNNNNNNNNNNNNNNNNNNNNNNNNNNNNNNNNNNNNNNNNNNNNNNNNNNNNNNNNNNNNNNNNNNNNNNNNNNNNNNNNNNNNNNNNNNNNNNNNNNNNNNNNNNNNNNNNNNNNNNNNNNNNNNNNNNNNNNNNNNNNNNNNNNNNNNNNNNNNNNNNNNNNNNNNNNNNNNNNNNNNNNNNNNNNNNNNNNNNNNNNNNNNNNNNNNNNNNNNNNNNNNNNNNNNNNNNNNNNNNNNNNNNNNNNNNNNNNNNNNNNNNNNNNUAUACAUAUACAUAUGUAUGUAUGUAUGUAUGUAUGUAUGUAUGCAUGUAUGUAUGUAUGUAUGUAUGUAUGUGUGUGUGUGUAUGUAUAUAUAUGUGUAUAUGUAUAUAUUUAUACAUAUAUAUGUAUACAUAUAUAUGUAUGUGUAUGUAUAUAUAUGUGUAUAUAUAUGUAUACAUAUAUACAUAUAUAUAUAUAUAUGUGGUGAAUCAUCACUGAAGCACAUUGUCAGAAAAACUACCAUUAAAUCUCAUUCAAAUUGCACUAGUCAAAUACAAAGUUACAGUGACAAUUAUAAAAACAAAGAAAAUGAGAAGGGAUAGUUGCCAAACCCCAACUAGAGACUUGCAAAAUAAAAGGUCAGCAGGCUGGAGCAGCCAUGAUCUCUGUAUAUAAGCCAAAACAGGGAUAAUAAUGAGGUACAAGGAUAACCAGUUAGCUCUAAUGUGAGAUGCACAUCACCUUCUCAUCCCACUGUAUAGAUAUGAAAUUUAGUUUCAUCAGAAAAACAUAGAAUAUGUGUUAAAUACAGAAUAUAGGCCAAACUUCCAAGGUUAUUCAAUGCAUUAGAUAGUUUGUAUGGUGGUAUGUAGUUUUUUCUUCAGUAGUGUAGGAUGCAGUAGCUGUUAUGAAAAGUCAAGGUGAUUAGUAACUCAACUAGAUGAGAACAUAAAAGUCACUCUCAUCCAACCCACCAAGCUGUGGCUUUAUAUACUUGUUUUGCAAACUCUGAGAGUUGAGUCAGAGUUUCCAUCUUAAGAGAGAUAAAGACGUAAACCUUAUCAUUGGAAAAACAAUUCAGAACGCUUCUUCCACAGUCAGAUAUUAGUUAGCACCGAAUGUCUAGUUAUUUUUUAAUAUAUCUUUUUCAAAACCAAUGGUAUAAACUAUGCUAAUAAUAUUCAGAGUAUCCAUGAUGAAAAAACUCCAUAAGGGAAGAUAGAGGACAAAAGAGGUAAGGUAACAACUCCGAUAUAUUCUAACAAGUUAUCUAAGACUGCAAAUGCAAUGUGAUCUUCACCACAACUGAGAAAUGCAAAGAGCUUUAGAAGACCUGUCCAAUGUCAUUAAGGAAGGCUAGGAAUUCAAUAUUGUUUCGGUUCAUCAGGCUUGGAAGUGUCUAUACAAAAUACAAAUAAGUUCAGUUACAAAAGGGCAGGUCCAGCUACAUGUGAACAUGCGACAAAAAAAAAGUUAAUGUUCCGUUUCCUACUGCAUGUUUUUUAUACAUUAUCCAAGUCAUUAUCAGUACGAAGCCCAUCACUACCAUAAGCAUCAGUGGCAUAGACUUUGAUGAUUAUCAGAGAAGAAAAUUGGGAAGGCACAUCUUGGUUUAAUAACUCUUGAAGACUAAACUUCUAAUGAGAUCUACAAAAUCCAACAUUUUAGAAACACUGACAAGUGGUUGUGCAUAGAUGAAAUAUAAAUGCCAUGUGAUAUAAAAUAGAAGUAAGAAAAAUGAAGUUGGAGUGGUCUGAGCUAAUGCUACAGUACAUGUUGUUGAUAAAGCAAUUUUGUUCUUUCUUAUAUCUAUCAAAGAAUAAUAUACAUAUAAGAAAAUACAAUUCAUUCCAUGAGAUUAGCAGCAAGUGUGAUGCCGACAAACCUUCAUUAUUGAAUUUGUAAUGGCUAAGCCUUCUAAAAGGAAGAAAUAGAGAAGAAUUUUUUUUUUCUUUAUUCCAUGAGAUUAUCAACAAGUGUGAUGCUGACAAACCUUCAUUAUUGAAUUUGUAAUGGCUAAGCCUUCUAAAAGGAAGAAACAGAGAAGGAAAGCUUAUAAUUUUCUUUAGUUUUCAAGCUGUUUGUUUUAGGGUUGCCCAUCAAAGAUUCAUAUUCCCAUAAUAAUUCAAGAAACCAUCAAGAAUGAAUUAAGUGAUUAGAGACUUAUCUGUGUGUCAAGGUUAGAAAUCCUAAAAGUAUGUUGGCUAACAAAACAAAUUUUUGUUGUAAAAUGCUAAAAUCUUUCACGAAAAGUAUUCUUGUCAGUCAGAAAGCAUGAGUAUAUGUUUGCUACAAAAUAAUCUCUUAUCUUGAAAUUUAUGAUGAAAAAAAAUCCCCGUUGAGUUGAUCUAAUAUUUUAGCAGAAUCUGACUUUUAGACAUGAUUUUCCUGUUCCCAUAGUGGUUGAUACUUUCAUUUAUUUGACAUGUCAGAUGGAUAAAUAGAUUGUCUUAAGUCUUCACUAUGAAAAAUUGAGAAGUGGCAAAAACUUUGCUAUGUAAACCUACAAAUAUAUGUUGCUUAGUUGCUCAAAACAGUCAAACACACAAAUCAUGAACCUACCAUUUCAUGGCUCAGAUGUAAGAACUCACAGGAUUGAAGGAAUCACAAUCACAGUCAACAUUGUGCUUCUUGAUAAUAAAUUGCUGGAGAGCAUGCAGCCAACAGAUUUUGAAGACUGCGAUGUUAACAAAAUGCAGCAUUCCAAACCAAAAUACUCAAUUUCUGGCAAACACUGUACAGAAAAGUGAAAUAAAGAAGACUGAAGAGACCACUAGCAACCAGUGGAUAAAACAGACAAGAAGAAUUUGAUCCAAAAGAAAAACAGAAGUUCAAAAAUGUCCAUAAUUGCCUGAGGCAGGAAUUCUAUGUGUUAGUUUAACUACCUUAUAUUUUGUAUAAGUACCCAUGAAAUGCCAAGCUGUAUGAACCUAGCCAUGUAAGUUCAAUGAUAGUAUGAUAUUCAUCAGCAACAGAAGUGGUGUAUUCCAACACACAAAAAUAAAAGUUAUGCCAUUAUUUCUAAUGAUAUAAGAAACAAAUCUGUUCUGCUACUAUCAAGUCAAGAGCAUUACUUGUUUUCUACCGUACAGCAAAUUCAUCUCUCUUUAUUUGGUCUAUUUUUUUUCAUAAAAGCAAAAUUUCUAUUAAGUCAAAGGUCAGAUACACCCAGUGCUCAGUUCAUCUGAGCUCAAAAUAGCCAUAAACUGAGAAGGUAAUGGAUAUCUCCAUAAAAAUUCCUUAGAAAAUUUAGAAUAAGAAGCAAGCCAAUGAGCAUAAUAAAAAAGAGGGCAGGCUAGUGCAUGAGAUAUCUGAAGAUAGUCAAUGCGCACAAUCUUACCUGCAAAUAGAGAGAAUGUUUCCAAUUUUGAAACCUGAAAUUGAUUCUUUAAUUAAUAAAGAAUUGAACUACAUCUUUACUUACUAAUAUAUAUUUUACUAGUUUUCCACUUAUGCUGACUUUAAUUAUGUGUGCAAAGGCCAAAACACAGCCAAAAUCCCUAAACUAGAAAAACAGAAACUCUUUAAAUGGAGCUAAAACUAAGUCCCAAAUGAAAAACUUGAUCAUGUUGGUGGCCCACCAACUAAAGAAAUAAGACAUUUUACUGAGAACUGAAGACACAUUAAAAGGAAGGAUGCAAAAACAUGAGCUAAAAAAAUUUCUGCCCUUUUUUUCAAGAAGAUGAGAAUCUUCAGGAAAUCCACAAUCGAGACAACUUCCAGACUAGAGAAAUUCUUCAAAAAAAAGUAAUCUGUCUUUUUCUGUAUAGAGGCCUCUAAGAUUUCCACAGCUUAAGUGAGCCUAGAGUACCCAAGUAAUCCUAAGAUCCUCCAACUGUGAAGAUCAAAUUACAUUUUCACAUACUACAAAAGCUUCAUGCAAAAUUUUUCCUGAGCAGAUAUAUCAUAAUCAUGCAGGAAUCUAUCAAAUGUGAAAAUUUAUAUAAUAAAGAUUUUGAAACCUCUAGGUGCUAAAUCAUGGUAAAUCAAUUCAUCAUUUUGAUUUGAUCCUGCACGAGAUUUAGCAGUACAGAACUCCUUAACCUCACAAGAGAAAAAGGAAAUAGAAACAUUGCUCUUUGUAAACAGAGAGUAAUUUUCUUUUCAGAUGAAGUACUAGAAAUAGACUUUUGCUUGCCAACCACAACUAAAGCACUUAUGAAGAACCUAAGGGCGAAGAAAUUCAUCAAACACAAAAAGUAAACUACGUAAAUGGGAGUCCACGUCAGGUGAGAGACCAGAAAAGAAAAUGAAGUUCUUGGAAGCAACCACCACUAAUGCUGAGGUUCCCAUUGAUAAGUGAAAGCAUCGAGCAAAUGACCGCGGCAUUGAUGUUAGGACUUCACAAAGAAUGCAUCAAGAACCUAAAAUGAGAUAUUAAUCGAGUAAAAAGCAACGAUGUAGACUGAGGUCAUCAUAGAAACUAAAAUGAGAUGAUCUUAUUUGGGUUAAAAGAAAAACGUGGAGGUCAACAUCGCCAUAGCUGAAACUGAAAGAACAGAGAUGUGAAUCAGACAAUAAUUUAGGUUUUCGACAGAUAAUUCCAGCCACUAAUGCACAAGCAAAAACACAUGAGGCUUGAACCAAGUAAUCUCAUUUCACGGUGCAAACAAGAAAAAUUCGAAUACAUUGGAAAGGGCGUCCAAGAACAGAUCGAGAAGGCAAAUCCUAAAGAUUCUCGACCACCUCAUUCCACAGGCGUAGAACCCAGGACGAGCCACGGGUUUCUGAAGCUAAUUGAGAUGGAAGCUAGGGUUUCGAGGAAACCCUUGCAGAGAGUUUGGAGAGCCGACCGGCGAUCGGCGACAGCGGAUCCGAACCUGUAGCAGAAGGCGGGCUGCCAUCCCCAUCACCGCGAGCUCGCUCCGCCUCAUAGGCAGUCAAACCGUCCCAAGUCAGGUUUGACCCAAAAGGUCAACUCAUCUAAAAUACUUUUCAUUUUCCGAUUUAGUGUUAUUUUAUUGGGAAUGAAGACGAAGUUGGGAGCUCACAAUAUCUCACUUAAUAAUAAUAAUAAUAAUAUAUUUUAUGUAUAUGUACUAAUUCAAAUAUCAUAUCUUAUUAAUGGAUUUAAGCUUUUAAAUGAAAUAAUAAUGAUUAAUAAUUUAACAUUAUACUCAUCAAUAAUGCAAUAUAGUUGUCAAUGAUAUAUAUAUAUAUAUAUAUAGGAAAUUGGCUUUAAUUCGAUGAUAAAGAAGUCCCAAAAUUCCUCACAAAAUAUAGAAAAUAAAAGGAAUAUCCAUCAUAUGAUUAAUUCUCCUUCUUCUCUCAAAUAAUAAUUAAUAUUAGCAGGGUCUGCCGUACCGAACUGUACCGCCCGGUAUGAGCGGUACGUACCGGUCCGACAGGUUGUCGGUACGCGGACCGUCUGUUACUGGUCCGAAUGCAUUAUGCUACAAUACUCGGCACACCUGGGUGUACCACUCGAUAUACUGUAUUGUACUGGUACCGAGCCCAGAUCGAAAUACCAGUACGGUACGAUAUUACAGUACGAUAUUACAAAUCAAAAUGUUGAAUUAACAUGCUAGGGAUCCAAGUACAUGUAUGAAGGAACACAUAGGCAUGCAAUCAUAGUCAUACAUACAAACAUGAAGAAGACAGGUGGGAGACUUGAGGAAGAAGACCAUCCGAUGUGGCCCAAUCAAAGCUUCAAUCACCCUAUCCAAUCCCAACUUCUCAUCCUGCCUUGAUCCACUGCCACACACACUCGAUACGCAGAAGACCUUCUCCUUUCACUGACACCAAAAUUCACAUUAAAGCAAGAUUGAUGAGAGGAGAGCAGUAAGAGUGAGUGUGUGUGUGAGUGUGGAAGAGAGGAAGAGAUGGCCUCAACUGCAUGCUUCCUCCACCACCACGCACCCUCGACCACCAACAGGAUCCAAUCCACGCGCCUUGUGCCGAUCAACAAGCCCAACCUGAUCGUGUGCAAGGCGCAGAAGCAGGCCGCCGACGACGAGAACAGCGCCGCCGUGUCACGUCGCAUGGCCCUGACGGUGCUCCUCGGUGCCGCGGCCCUCGGCGCCAAGGUCGCCCCGGCCGACGCGGCCUACGGCGAAGCUGGUAAGUCUUCCCCUGCAGUCUCUCCCACGCCUGUCGUCGUUGUUGCGGAUACUUCGAGCUACUGUUCAUGUCGAACGCAGCCAACGUGUUCGGUAAGCCGAAGACGAACACCGACUUCCUGCCGUACGCCGGCGACGGGUUCAAGCUGAUGAUCCCGUCGAAGUGGAACCCGAGCAAAGAGGUGGAGUACCCUGGCCAGGUGCUCCGGUACGAGGACAACUUCGAUUCCAACAGCAACGUCACCGUCAUGGUGACGCCGACCACCAAGAGCACCAUCACAGGCUACGGCACCCCGGAGGAGUUCCUCUCUCAAGUAACCGACUCUUCUCCUUCCUCUUCUUCCGUCUCUAUCAGUCGUCUUGAAUCAAAUCCAUGAUGGGAUCACAUGUUCGACUAAAUGACAAGAGACAUGCAUGACCAACUUGGAUGCGUAUCUGCCACAGGUUGAUUACUUGCUAGGAAAACAAGCCUACUCCGGCAAGACAGACUCAGAGGUAGGUAAAUGAAGAUGACAGCAAGCAUCUCAUGUACUUGAAUGUGAUCGAUUUGGACACUGAACAAGGCAUGGAUUUGGUAGGGUGGGUUCGAUUCUGAUGCUGUGGCAACAGCCAACAUACUGGAGACCACCACGCAGGAGAGCGGCGGGAAGAAGUACUACUUCGUCUCGGUUCUGACGAGGACGGCGGAUGGGGACGAAGGUGGCAAGCACCAACUGAUAACAGCCACUGUUUCCGACGGGAAGCUCUACAUCUGCAAGGCGCAAGCUGGGGACAAGAGAUGGUUCAAGGGAGCCCGGAAGUUUGUGGAGAGCGCAGCCAGUUCCUUCAAUGUUGCCUGAGAGAAUGGUGGGGUGUGUUUCUCCUGCUGUGGAUGAGCUCAAGUGUUCAUGACUGUUGUCUGUCCUCCAUUUUGUUUCUCUAAGUUCUCUUGUCUAUGAUGUACAUGUUCCAUGAACUAAAACUAGAUUAUAAGUAGAGAAGCCUGCAUUUUCCUGAAGGAGUUGCCUUCAUCAAUUGGCCAGAAAAGUUCUAUCACAAAAAAAGUGUUCUAAAUCUAAUCAGACCAAAGUUUCAUAAAGCUCAGGUCAGCAUGAAUUUUACUAAAAACAGAGGCUGCACAAUUUUUCUUAAGCAACAUGUCAAAUUUACAUUUUCUGCAUAAUUUUUCAUUACAGAAACAAUUGAAUACAUCGGUCAUAAGGAUGUCCAUGAUAUCCAGUGGAAAGGAGAAUAUAUGUUGUUCUUCAACUUACCUAGAACAAUGCAGCUAGAACAAGCUCAAAGAGUUCAUUUUUGAGCCACAUAAAUUAGUCUGUUCUUGUUCUUCAUUCACAGCUCAGUAAAUCUGCAUACUGAUACUUGAUGAUAAAAAGAUGUGUUUUUAACAUUAUUUGUCACUCAUUCCUCUGAUUACAUCCAGAUGUUUCAAAAUGUAUACAAAUUGAAUAAAGAAUGAGGUCGACGUAAGCGGCAAAGUGAAGGAAAAAGUCAGCACCUCUUUCUGGUUAAGGUGGAUUUAUGCUUGGUCUUCGAGAUGACAGACAAGGGAAUGAACAACUUGUGGCCUAGGUUUCCAUAAAGGCCAAUCCCCCCAAAGCUGGCAGAGGUGCUGUUCAUGGUUGAACCCAGGACAAUAGUUAGGUUUUGUUGCUGGCCGCUCGCUAUAAAAAACCGUGUUGGUGAUACAGAAACUGAGACUCCAUAAGGAGCACUCCAGCUGACACUGUAAUGCUCAUCGUUUGCAAUGUUGGUAACUCUUCUCAUGAUGAUUCUUGAUUGAUUGAGCAAUGAUAUGGUUACCGAAGGUAAAUUCAGGUCUGAGCCCAUCAUUGUGGAGAUCUUACAGUUGUGGCCAGUGUAGUUCAGUACUACUGGAGCAGAUCCAUUGAUGCCACAAAGAAAGGAGAGGAAGUUGUCGUAGCCUGCAAAAAAUAUGCAACCAACCACAGUUAUAAGGCAACAAAUCAUGCAAGUUUUUGCCACAAGUUCAUGGUGAAUGCAUACUUCUACUAAUUAUUGAAGCUAAUGGUGUAUAAGUAACCUGAAUCGAGAAUUAGUCCUGGAUUUAAAGCAGCAGUUGCGUUGACAAAGCCACUGCCCAUGUCAAAUGGUGUUGCAGGUGACAUGUUGGAAUCUGGAUUGCUGUAAGCUCGUUGGGCCAUGAUCGGUGAACCCUGCUUGCCAUAGACUGUGGCGGUUGUGGAUAGAGCAGAACCAAUGGCUGAAGGACUAAAAUUUGGAUAUUUCUGCUUGAUCAGAGCAGCAAGCCCAGCAACAUGUGGAGCCGCCAUACUUGUCCCAGAUAUCAUUGCAAAUUUCUCACCUACAAGCAUAUGUUUCAACUUUCAAUAUCGAAACAUCUUUAGUAACCCUGAGAUGAAGCAACUCUAUUCAAAGGAAGAAUAACAUGUAAGAAUCAUUACAGAUACUUGAUUCAGAUGACAAGGGGUUUUCCUGCAUUUAGAACUUUUUAUGGCUUAAGCAUGGGUUGACAUAUCCAUCAUUCUUUUCAGUUCUUCAUGAAACUUCUUACACCUCUACUUGGUUUCAUGAGUUUUAUUUAGCUACGUAGUUGUGUAUAGUAUACUCACUAAACAAAUUGAUUAUUUAGACAAUAUCUCAUGGACCCCCUCCACAUGGAGUUGCAGUUGUUAGAAACUUAUCAGCAAUUCAAAUAGUUGAUAUCAGUUUAAAGUCCCCUAACAUGUUUCUGAAAAUGUAUGGAUCAUAUUAUAUCAGCAAAGCCCGGAUUCAUAUCGAUAACAAAGGACUUGUUGGUAAAAGGCUACAUGACUUUACAUAAAAUCUGCUUACAUGUCUGUGACUCGAGUCAUGAUAACCAUUAAAUAUGUCAGAGUUAAGUGCUAGACUCCAUGAUUCAUGCAUCACAAAUGUACAAAAUUUUGUUGCAGUGUUUGUCAAAGAAUAUGAUAGUACCUUCAAAUUCAGCAGAAUCUGUGCCCAGGGAACUCCAAGCACUCCAGAUGAAAUUGCCAGGAGCGAUUAGAUUGGGUUUCAGUAUGUCAGCAUCAACCAAUGAAUUGUCUUCUGGGUCCGGUCCUCUAGCUGAAUAAUACAUUACUUUUGGGGCAGAGAUGCUGUAGUUAGCUUUAAGACCUCCUAAUAUUUUUGCAACACCACGAAACUUGAUAAUGGUUUUUGAGUCUUUGUCUCUCAUUAAGGAGCUGUUGUAAUAUUUUAGGAAUAUCUUAAACAAGCCAAAGAUCAAGAAUUAGUACCAUCAAAGAAAUGAUCACAUGAUGCAAGAAAACUUCAAAGCAACUACUAGGAUGCCUUGUUGGGAGUGAGAAUGGAACGAGAAAACGAAUAAGAUGAUGAAAAAGGAGACAACAAAAUACAAGUUCAUAUUUUGCAGGCAUUCAGUCAUCAAAUCUCAAGAAUAACCCAAGUCUCAAACUUUGAUAUUGAUAUACAGAAAUAGAUAUUUGAAGGGAAACAAGUUCCUUGGUAGAUCUUUGUCGUGGAAAACACGAGCAUGUAAUCCUAAAUCAGAAACAAAAUAAAAAGUAAUUAAAACACCAAGACUAGCACUUUGGGAACAGUUGCAACAACUGAUGAAAAAUUAAAAACAGAAAUAAGGGGUGUUUGCAUAAAAUACAGGACAACCUGCAAAUUUGAGCUAAUACUCCAAGUUGUAAGUUAUUGAAUAGUAAAAAAAAUGCAUAAAGAUAAAUAUUCUCCCCCUGCUACUCUACUAGGUUUCUUAAUUUAACUAGAAAUUAUAACUAAAAAUUUAAAUAAUUUCAACUUAACUAAAGAUAUAUCUUUUCCAAUGGUGGCAAAAGAUCCAUGUCACCCUGAUCCCAAAAAGAUCCUAGUUGGGACUUUGCGGCCUACUAGGUUUCUUCAGUAUAGCAACACAUAUAAGAUUAAGAUAGUUCUUAAUGGGCAUACCUUGGAAUCAUCAGGUGAAGGAAUUAUAAGACCAGGCAUAUGCAUAGGAGUUGGGUUGAGCUGGAACCCAAUAACAAAUGGAUCCAUGUAAAAUAUAACUCCAACUGCACUCACAUUCUUUGCUGACUGUAAUGCUUGCUUGAUAGAGGACAAGCCCAGCACAAAUCGGAUGGAAUAACUGCAAACCAAAAGUUUUCCUUUAGUUAAAUCUUUGUUUAGAAGACUUGAAUCCUGGCAUUCUGCCAAAUACAUAUCAUUUGCAUCUGUUGUCUCAUUUGUCAAGGCAUGAGUAGCAGCAAUGAGAGGAUACAUUAAGUCACCAUCUGUUCCAGCUGCAAGUUUUAAGAAUCGUUAGCUCAAAGCUAUAUGCGUCCACUCAGCAUGUGGUAGAAGUAUAUUGGAAAAUGAGAAAAGAGUUUAAGUUAAUGCAAUUCAGAAAGUUAGGUUAUCAAGUUUCACAUAACUCUAUUAUUGAUAAAACUUAGCUACGAGAGACAAAUAGAAUGCAAAACAAGGCAAAUUGAAGAUUCACAUUUAUCAUCUAUUGCUGAAGUGCAGAGUUUAAACUUACGUGCAAGUCCUACUCCUGAAAUUUUCAGGUUGUUCCCAAGUACAAGAUGGUUACUGUAGAUUCUAUCAUGAGCAGAUGCACCAACGGUAAAUAUCCAAGGGCUAAAGGAAGACACGCUCUUCGGUGAAGGUCCAGUAUUGCCUGCAGCUUGAACAACAAAUAUUCCAGCUUUUACAGCAUUCAGCAACGACAUAUCUAUGGGAUUGAAAAAGGUUGCUACACCAAGAGGGCGCCUGUUGGGAGUGAUGGAUAAACUUAUGAUGUCAACACCAUCUUGAGCUGCCUGUGAAUGCAAACGAUUACAAAUGUCAGAAAAAUUGUACAGUGAAGCCUAACUGAGAAUUAUGAAAAUGUAAACUACUUGAUGUGUACAAAUCUGGACUUAGAUUUAAUUCGCUGAAUUAAGGCAUAUAAUUUUCUCUUCCUCCUUUUUGGAAUAUUUUUUUCUCCUCUCGAUUUACUUUCUUUAGAUCUCUUGUUUCUUUCUUUACUUUCUUCAGAGAUGGAAUUGACACCUGUGUACCUGGUCUAUAGCAGCGACAACAUCAGCUGCAAAGCCUCCAAAACUUUUGUACAAAGCUUUAUACACUGCAAUACUGAAAAAAUUCGAGUGGUUAAAAUCAAUCUUGAAGUGAAAAGGACACCAUCUAUGGUCUAUCAUAGACUAAAAAGAAGUAGUGGCUUACUGCGCACGAGGGGCCAUGCCACUUGCAUUUCCAAAAUGAUGUCCAGACACAACAACAGGAAUCCCAUGGUUACCAGCUGCAAUGGAUGCUGUGUGCCUGCAUUUAUCGACUAUCAUUUUACUAUACAAAAAAAGGAUUUUUAGAAUAAAAUAGAAUUCACCUAAUCUCGAUUUUGACAAGCAAGAAAUAUAUCAUGGAUCAUACAUAGAUUCGGAAUUCUAUUACUGUUAUUCCAGCUUAACAAAGCUAAAGUUACAAAGAUUACAAUAUCAUUAAAAUGUACCAUAAAUUAGUGAAGGACAAAUUCUAUGAAACUCAAGAAAGAGAAGACACCAAAGAAACAACAUAUAUAUAUAUAUAUAUAUAUAUAUAUAUAUAUAUGUAAUUUCUAUAUUGUACAUCUAGUGGAAGUGAAAGCCACUUACGUUCCAUGUCCAUCACCAUCCAAUGGUGAAGCAUGGUCCAGGGUAGCAUUGAAAAUCCCCCUGGUUAUUGCAGAAGCAGCAAAAUGUCGAGCUCCGACUAGUUUUCUGUUACAUGAUCCAGCUGGAAAAUCUUUUGUGACUUCACAAAUGCCAGAAAAAUGAUGUGGAAUUGGGUAACGAUUGACAGAUAGAUAAUCAGAGAAGCUGGGGUGAGUUGGAUCUAUCCCUGUAUCAAUGAACCCAAUAACAAUUCCUUCUCCAGCGACUUCAGGCCCUCCUUCUUGAACCCAUGCUCCUUGAGGCAGACCUAAAAAUUCUGGAGUGUGGGUGGUUGCAGUUCUAACUGAAAAAUCUAACAAUACAUUUGCUACUUCAUGCCUCCUUGAAAGUUUUUCUGCCUUUUCCAUCCAAGAAGAACACUUUAUAUCAGAUAGGAAACUGAAAAUGCAACCCGUGUAACUAAAUUAAUUUUGAAAUAAAUAAUUACAGUUAUAAGAACAAAAAUCAUGGUUUGGAUAUUAUAAGAAUGUGCAUGAGGCAUAGAAAUCCAAGCCAGGACUCAAAUGAAAUAUUCAAAUAAAAAUAGUACUUGUCAGCUUUCUGAUCAAGAUAGUCUUAUUAUUUCACCUUUUAUUGAAGGCAAAAGGAGUAAGUGUAUCACCACUGGACUAAAUUUGGAAGGAGAAUGACUUUACAAACACUAUCUACUUUUAAAAAUUUAAACAUGCCAUAAAAUUUUCCUAAUUUAAGAUAUAUGGCUAAAUGAGCCUUGUAAUUUUAUAUAUAGUUAAUUGAAAAAUACAAGUUUCCAGCUUUUGACCGAAAAACGUAUCAGUAAGAAUUGUUUGAGAAAAUCACAAAGCUCUUGUAUACCUCUUAGGAAUGGGACUACUGAAGCUUAAUCUAUGGCUCAUUUUGGAAAGUGACAAUGUUUGAUAACCUUGGACACAAGAAUUUUAGUUUUCAUAAUGAAGUAAAUAAUUCAUGCCAAUGCUCCAAAGCAAAAUUGAGAAAAAUGCCCAUCAAACCAAACCACAAGAGCAUAUAGGCAUAGAGGAGAGGAUAGGCAGUAUAUAAACUAGCUAAGUUUAAUAUAAUGCAACUUUGGAAACUCAUAAAUCAAUGUAAUAUCACACCCAUGGCAUCUUCUCACAUAUUAUUAACUAGACACCUGUAUUGUACUCUUUAGCAUCAACUAUUUCACAUAAGUUUGAGAACUCUAAUUAUAACUUAUUGGUUUGGCCCAAACAACCUUCAAUUAUCUAGUCUAUCAACCUAAUGGAACUAAAAAUAAACAGUAGAUGAACAAGCGUAGUCGUGUCAAGUACCUGUUGAGAAGUUAUAAGAACAGAAAAGCCAUUGAUUAAGUAAUGAUAACUAUAGAGUUUGAGAUAUCUUUCCCCCCUAAAUGCCCUUCUCAACAGAGAAUUCUGAAGGCGAAUCAGAUAUGAGCUGUAAUUUGUAUUUGUCCUUGAAUAAUUCCUGCAGUUCAGACAGUUCAAAUAAGUUGAUCACUAUAAUUCAUGAAACAACUUAGACAGGAGAUUUCAAACAAGGGAACUCGGAUGAGGAGCAUCAAUUAAGGAACAAAUAAAUGGAUAAGAUUUCACCUGCAACGGACAGGUGUAUUGCCAUCUACAACGAAAAAAGCAGAGUGACAGUCAACUAGAUGGAAAUAUGACUCUCCAAUUAGUCUCAUAUUUGAAGUAGGACAAGAGUCACGAUGGUAUAUAAGACUCUCCAAUUACUGACAGUCAACUAGAUAGAAAUAUGACUCCAAUUAGUCUCAUAUUUGAAGUAGGACAAGAGUCACGAUGAACUUACUGCUGAUAACUUGAGCUGCAGGUCAUAAUAACUGGUAUUAAAUUUGAAUUAAAACUAGGCAUAUGAAGUUUAAGGGUUCCAGAGAGCAAACAACUAAACGUGGAUAAGCCAAGAGUGCAUUACACUAUAAGCUUCACAAAUCACAUACUAUAGAUUGAUCCUUGACUUUAUGUUAGACCUUGCACCUUGACAAUGAUGUCAAGCUUUUGUGACAUGUAUCACAUCAAAAGUAAGAGAGGAUUGUGAUGGUUUAUAAAGCUAGAUGGAUCUACCAUAAAUAGCUAAGGCAUAAGCAUUUUCAUUUGUGAUGGUAUAUAAGCCUAGAUCUAUCUGUUACUAAUUUGGAUUAAGUAUUUUUAAACCAUGUGUUAAGCCUGAAAGUUAUUGGGUUUGCAGAUCUAUUAGACCAUGCCAUGACAAUAGAAGUUUGGCCUAUGGGAUGUUAAGUGUAAAGAAAAUUCUGUUAUGUAAUAAAAAAAAAUUAAUGGAUUGUGGAAAGACAUUAUUGCUUCACAGAAACAGCAAAAAUGUGAACUGAAGUAAAUUUGUUCUCAAUUAAAUUGAUAAAAUAUACUAAUGCUUUGAAAUAUUCUUUGUUAUUUAGGCCGUGCCUGCCUAUAACUUCAGGAUCUUAUGCCAAUCGAUGCUGCAGUGGCAAACCAUGAUCUGGGCCUUGAGAAUUUUCGCUAAACUGCACACCAAGUAUUGGUAGGAGCAUAAUCUUUGUACCAUGGAAACAUCAAAACCAGUCAAAAUUAGAGUGCAUAAUUUUCUACCCCAUGAUCUAGAUCGACUAGAAUAAAAUAAGUAUUGAACGAUGAGGCACCACCAUCUUAGAAUGAUCUGAUAUAAAACUGAAACCAGUACAAUACAUAAAUAAAUGGACUAUAUCACAUAUUCACACUCUAUAGCUAUAUAGAACAGUCCCAAUCUUGAAAUGCACAUCAAAGACAAUCACAAAAACAAACACAAAACUUUUAGGCAUAUAUAAUACAAUUUUUGACGAAGAAACCCGAAUCUGUAGUCCUCUUGAGUGAACGAAUCGUGACAAGUCAUCUGUCUCAUAAGUCAAACUCUAAUUUUACAGCAGUGACCAGUCAUCAAGUCCCAUAAGUCAAACUCUAAAACAUAGCUAUGUAGAACAGAUCUAAUCUUGAAAUGCACAUAAAAGACAAUCAUAAAAACAGGGAAGAACUGUUAUGCAUAUUAAUCAUAUGAUUUUUGACGAAGAAGCCCAAAUCUGUAGUUGACAUGAGCGAACCAAUAGUGACCACUUAUCAUGUCUCCUAGGUCAAACUCACUUUACAGCAGUGACCAGUCAUCAUGACCCACAAGUCAAACCCUAAUUUUACAGCACUAACAAUCAAUGACUUCUGCCAAUGAAAUUGAUAACCCAAAAGUCCAAGAUCAACAUACAAGUAAAAGAUCAGAGAAAAUCAAGCACUAUUUUACCCACCUGAUAAAACAGACCUUGUUAUGUUAAAGAUUGAAUGCUACAAUAUCUGCAAGUUUCCAAAGAUAUAAAUUAAAAGAAGGCAUUACCUUGUUUUAUUGAGGAUAUUGAAGGUCUGAGAGCCCCCAUAACUGACCCCACUGCUUGCAAACGUCUUCAGCUCAUCAAUGUAAUGGACUGCAGGGGGCUGCUUCAUGGUCACAAUGUACACAGCAGCAUCCUCUUGGCAUAGGCCUCCUAACAAAAGACUCAAUAGAGAAAGCACGAAGAAAUGCACCAGAAGUCCUUCCAUUUGGUUACACACCAAGCAGCGCAGGAGUCCUCAAAACUCCAACCGAGAAAUCUUCGACUCCCCCAUACAACCCGAACUCAGUGCAGUUGACACAGUAAAGGAAAGCAUGCUCUAACCUUGAACCGUACCCUUCCCUCUCUAAUGCUUCACUCUUUCACAAGGAGAGGAUGGCACAAGACCUCACUCACUGCUGCUCAGCUAAAGGAUAAACAAUGCCAGUUAGUAGAUGCAUAAAGGAAAAGAGGGGAGGAGAAAGGAAGCAUCUGAAGCUUUCUUCUUUAGCUUUCGGUUGGUGUGGGAUGCAGAACUUUUUAUACAUGUGUUCUGGGUGUAAUACAUUUGACUGUUGGGUUGGUGAGCGUCAGCUAGCUACUGCUACCAAAGAAGGAGGAAGAAAAGCCGAGAGAGAGAAAAAGCGAGAGAUCUACCGGGAAGUUGAUGGCCUGAGGUUGUUGGGUGAAGUCCAUCACGGUGCCUCUGGGUUCUUCCCAAGGUGGAACUGUGCAAGACCACCAUGAUAGUGAAAGUCUUGUGAUUAGCGCAGUAAUUAACAAUAACCAUAGAGAAUAAUUACUGCUGGAUUAUAACUAGUGAUUGAAAUCAUUGGAUACAGUGUCAAACAGAGGGGGCUUCGAGGUGGAGUCCCUCCCAAUGGCUCUGUGUUCUUCCCAAGGUUGCAAUUUUCUGUGGAGUUGGUGAGCUUGCCUUACUGUGCCAGUCCACCAUUGUUAGCAAACUCUUGUUAUAAGUGCAGUGAUUAGUGUGACUAUGAGCUUAGAGAAGAAUGCUCUCAGAUUGCAUGCAUGUAGUGAUUGAAGUCAUUGGGUACUGUGUCAAACAUUGAGGACCACUUCUUCAUCAUUCUCAAAGCUUAUUUACAUCAGUUUUUUAACAGCAGAUAAGCUAAAUGCAAGCUCAUAAAAGCUUCCAAGAUUGCCCAUUUAUACAGUGGCUUGAAGCCCACCCAUGGGUGCAGGCUGCUGCAAGCAUAAUCAAUGCAUGCGACCACAUGCAUACUGGGGUACUGCACAGUGCUCUUUUGACCUUUCGCUUUUGAAGGCUUUUGACUACCUUUGUCAGAGAAAAGCAGAAGUAAUGGCAGACUGCCAAUGGCAUUUAAGAACAGCUGCACUCCUCCAUGUGCACACAGCUCUCUGGUGAAGGAACAAAAGCAGGGAAAGCUUCUUCUUCCUUGAGAUAAUAAACAUAUCACCUUAUGCUGACACUGAAAGGUCUCCGCACUUUAUUCCCCUCAUAAUCAUGUCUGCAGCUUUGCUUUCUCACACUAAUUUCUGUAUUGGUUCUGCCAUAAUAUCUCUUACACAUGAAUCGUAAAGGGGAUAGGCGACGAAGUAAAGAUGAACGGAUCGGCUCUUUCGAGCUGGAAGCACCUGAGCUGGUGGGAGAAUCCAAUCCAUCGGUUCAGCGGCGGUUCUGAGGAAGAGAGGUUCGCACUCCUCAAAGCCCAGCCCGUGAUCGGCGUACUCUGCGUCUCCCUCGGGAAGCGAGGCGCGUUCGUUCGCGGCGAAGAAGGCGACGUCGCGUGACGAAGCCAUCCAUGCACGGAGACGGACGUGAGGGAAGCCUCGGGAGUGCCGUCGUCGUCUCUGUUGACCCGUGGCCCAGUCAAAGAUGCUGAUGUGGAACACCAUCAUUGGCCUGUUCUGGCAUCGAAGUUGACUCCAUGAUCAAAUGAUUUGAUAUGAUGUGGUUACAUCAUUUGUGCUUCCAAUCAACAUAGCACUGCCAUGGCAUUGACUAAAGAGAUUACAAGACUAAGCAUGCUUAAAGAGAUUGAAGUGGAUCAUGACGAAUGAGAUAAAUAAAACUAGUUCAUAAUGUGCCACUCUUGUGUCGAGAUGAUCCGCUCCACUUAGGUUUAAUUGUCGUGGUAUAGUGCGGAGGUCCAACCAUAGCUCCAUAGCAUGAUGUACUCAUCUUCAUCGAAUGUUACCAACUUGAUGCGAUCAAUUGGGAGUUGGUCCGACUUGAUUUUAGCUCGAUGAAUCUUCUCCGGAAAGAGAGGAGUUGUUGAGGUUAGAUUCGAGCUAGAGAGGGUGAUUAUGUGGUUAUCUCGAGGUGAGGUUGAAGUAUGUUUGAUUUCCAUCGGGCCCUUCACGAUAGGUCGAUAUCGAAUGGAAUUUUCGACAUGAUCCAUCUAAAACUUAAAUUAGACAAAGGGAAUCAUAUUUAUAUCAUGUGAUUUUUUUCUGAGACUAAUCCUCUUUUCAUGUGUCAGGAUUAGUUUUUAUACUUGUAAAAUUGAUGGGAGGAAACUAUAGUAACAAGGGGCACCCAUACCUCUUGUGAUGCAUUCAUGCAGGCCAUCGACCCGUACAACUCCCAAUGACGUAGGUCGACCUAUUCUUAGUGCGAUGUCGAUCCGUACAACCCGUACGACAUAAGGUUGGCGGGAGAUGACCGAGGGGAUGCCGAUGUUUUAAUUGAAUUAAAAUCAAUACUAAUAUGAUUAUAUAUAGCUCUCAUAAUUUAUAAUUUUUUUUAUUUAUUAUGGGAUAAAAUUGAGGUGUUACAUACAAUAAAUAAAUAAAUAAAUAAAUACAUAAAUUUUAUAUAUAUAUAUAUAUAUAUAUAUAUAUAUAUAUAUAUAUAUAUAUAUAUAUACUAUUAAAAAUUCAAUUCCUCUACGCCAUUUUUAUGGCAUAAAGGGGAAGCAAAUGGGCAAUUGAGGAAUUGGGAGAAUUGGAGGAUUGCUAUGUGCCUUUCAGUUUUAUCUUCGUCGUCCAUGAUGAGAUCAAUGAGAAGGGGUUUCUUCUGCAGUAGCGCUGCGCUCAGGUGGGAAGGUGGGGUUUCCAUGGUGCAGGGCGCUUCAAGGGGAAUCGGCCUUGAAUUCGUAAGCAGAAGAUCUCUACCCACUUCACUCGUCUCCUCCCUUUGUUUCGAGUCUCGUGGCAGAUUAUUAGUGUAGAUCUUAAGUAUAAAUGUAAAUCCAGGUUCGUCAAAAACUUCUUCUGAUUUAUUUCUGGUUAUGUGUAUGUCCGGCUCGGUGGAUACAGGAAUAAAAGACGGUGUCUUUGAUGUGGAUAACUGGAUAUCUGCAAAUGGGCAGAUUAGUAGUCUGGAAAUUUGUGCUUAUUUUGGAAUGCAUAUGUGGUCUUGAAUUGGACAGACAGUGUCAUGCGAUGAUAAGAGGGAGAAGAUAUAUGUCAGUUAAAUUGCUGUGACAACAUAAAUUUUAUCUUUCUUUGAGUUGCGUUGAUAAGAGGGAGAAGAUAUAUGUCAAUAAACUUGCUGAGGCAACAUAAGUUUGAUCUUUUCUUGAGUGACGUUGCGACAGAGAAGUUAAUUUGGUUAGACAGUUUGUGUUUGGCAAACAAAGAAUCUAUUGCCAAAUAACCACCAGAAAUAGAACAGUUUGGGAUCCACCAAGAAACGUUUCUGGAAAAAAAAUUGCUUCAUUAUAUUUUGGCAUAUGAGUCAAACAUUAUUAAUAGGCUGUUAUUGAUAUCUACUUUCCUAGUGCAUACUAAAUAUCCUUCACUUCACUUGUAUUCUUCCGAAUGUUCUGUGGGUUUUUGAUGUUACUUUUAAGAAAGGGGGAAAAUGUAAAAUAUAAUCCAUGCUACCUUAAAUGCUUCUGUUUGUUAUAGCUUGUGUUCAAGUUUAUUUAUUUGGGCUCUUAUGUGGGAAGAUAAUUUCUACCCCCUUUCAUAAGUUCUACAUUUGGUUCUGAAAGUUUAGUUGUGUGAUUAUAUUGAACACAUUCGCCCAAGAACUUUGACGUUUAUAUUUUGUAGCUCUAGCACUCAAGAAAAGGGGAAAAAGUAAAAUAUAAUCCAUGCUACCAAAUAAAUGCUUCAGUUUGUUAUGGCUGGUGUUCAAGUUUAUUUAUUUGGGCUCUUAUAUGGGAAGGUAACUUUUUCCCCUUUUUAUGAAUUUGGUUAUGGAGUUUUAGGCAUGUGAUUAUAGCGAACACAUUCACUCAAGAACUUUGUCAUUUAUAUUUUGUUGCUCUAGUAGUGUGUUUUAAUGCUCUUCAUGUUCUUUAUGAUGUUAAUACACUAACGAACCUAGGACAUGGAGAGGAUCCACUGUGAUGUAAGAGCUCCUUACAUUGGCAAGAAAGAAAAUUUGGCUUCGAGUAUAUUGGAAGUUGAUGCUUGGUUAGAUGCCUCUGCUGACAGCCAAAUUUAGAUUCUGUAUUGCUAACUCUCCUGUCACAAGUUCUGGAUAUCUCAAAGGGAUGAGGGAAAGGUUUCAAUAAUAAGCAAGUGUUUCUCUUUGCAUUUCUCAUGCAAUAGCCCUUUCUAUAUCUGCAUGUCCUAGACAAUCUUGGAUAUCAUUUUCACUUAUCAUUGUAGAUAAUUCAUUAUAAAAUGGGAGGAGCUGAGCUACGAGUCCAUUUGUUUAUCAAUAAAAUCAAGACUAUGUUCAGUUCCUCACACAAUCUUCAUUAUUAAUUGGAAUCCAUAAUUUAUUUAUUUAUUGGCAUAGGGGCUUUAGCUGUGCUUUCUGGUCUUGAUGCCACAUAUUAAUGUGGUGGCCCAGUGCACAAGGAUCCUGCCAGUAAAAGUCCAAGGAGGAUAGAUGGAAGUAGCUUUGCCCUUGCAAGCAACGAAACUGUCGCAGCUCAAAUCCUAGGCACCUGGAUCACAAAGGAGAAGAGAAAAUAGCCAACAUGUGGUGACAAAACUGGCUUCCACCAAAAAUGUGAAUGAGUUUCAAAACAUAUUCUUAUGAUUCAUUACUUGUCUCUAGUGAAAAAAAGAAGCUAAGAGACUCAUAUCAGAAUUGCGAUACUUGGUGCUUGUUAUACCCCCAAAUGCUAGCUGGAUCCCUAUGUUACAUGAGUAAGGUGUUCAAGAUAUGUUACAUCAAAUGGAUUGAAAUGCAUGUAAUUGAAUAUUGUUGAUUUCCAUGCAUUUUUUCACACUGUCUAUAAACUCUUAUAGAUUGUCAUUUCUUUGUCUAGUCAAUUAAGGAAGGACAAUGUUUUCUGAAGCUCUAGGUGUUAUUUAUAUUGAAGACAGCUUAUAUGUAUAUAUCCUUUGAAACUUUUUGGUCAGUUCGAUGUUGUCGCAUGAUCCUUGAAGAACUUCUUCAAAUGAUUGUACUAUGAUAUGCUUGUGGAAACCAUUUGAAAUCUUAUGUGAAGUAUGCUUCCAAACAAAUAAUAGUUAUUUGAUGGUUAUUACAUCAAUGCAAACUUAUUGUUUAAUUUUCUGCUUAAAUCUCAUAGUAUAAGGGCAUAUUAAUCAUUCUUAUGUGGUGCAUGAUUAGGUUAGGCAACUAUUGGAAAAGAAUGAUAAAGGACAUGUCAUUGCUACCUGUCGGAAUCCUGAUGGAGCAACAGGCCUCCUUGACUUGAAAAAGAAAUUUAUGGAACGUCUUAAUUUAUUGCAAUUGGAUGUAACAAAGGAAAGCACCAUAGAGGUACAAGAUUCUUUCCAAGAUGUUAUUCAUUCAUAUAUUCUUUGCUCUUAAAUAUGCUAACUAGUCACUAGAAGCUCAAAAACAAUCUAUUACUUGGCAAUUUGCAAAAAGAUGUGGAAUUGGCAAAACUAUCGUUGAUCAAUUCAUCUCUAUAGCUAAGUAAACAAUUUGACAUCAACUGUUCUAAGAAUGCUUGAAGCAUGCUUUUAUGUGAUAUGAUUAUAUCUAUGUAGGAUGAAGGAAGUAAGAAAGUGAGAAAGGUUCCCUGUUUAGGUCGUUUGCAUGCAAUAAGCUUCUUCCAGCUUUUUUUUUUCUUAAUGGGUUAUCUUAUUCACCAAAAUAAACUUCAAUUCUUCCACGGACUUGAACUUCUUAUAGUAUAAACACGUUGACCUUUGGAGUUUUGACUUAGUUUGUUUAGGUGGGUGUAUUAUGGAACAGAUAAGAAUUAACAGGUUCUAGAAAUCAUGUCAGGCAAUCUGCAUAGAACAUGGCAAGGUAGGUGUAAAGUACCCGAUCAUUCUUGAUUGUUGUGAGACACUUUUUUAGUUGGCUUAACUUGUAAGAGAACCAAAGAAUUUACUAGGUCUUCUCGUAAUAUAUUUUUUACCUAAUACUUACUGAAUCUUGGGAUUUGUAAAGCCAAACUACAUGUUAGAAUGCUUACUCUUGGAUGGUUGUUAUCAGGUUGAUCAAGAAACAAGUUGCUUGGAGUUAAAACAUAUUAUGAUCAAAACCCUGCUGUUUACUACACAUUUUUCAAUUCUGAUCUUUUGCUUGCACUCCCGCAAUUUCUGUCCUUCUAAAUGUUACUUUUGUUAGUCUUUGCUACUCUGUCAAUCAAUCUCUUUGAACAUUAUAGGCCAUGGCAGGCAGCAGCAACCUCUGUGAGAGAAAACUAUGGCAGUCUGAACCCUGCUGUUUACUACACAUUUUUCAAUUCUGAUCUUUUGCUUGGACUCCAGCAAUUUCUGUCCUUCUAUGUGUUACUUUUGCUAGUCUUUGCUACUUAAAUUGCAACUUGAAUGCUAUCAUUCAAUCUGUUUGAAGUUUGAACAUUAUAGACCAUGGCAGGCAGCAGCAACCUCUGUAAGAGAAAGCUAUGGCAGUCUGAACCUGCUGAUUAAUGCGUCUGGCAUUCUUUCAAUACCAGAUGUACUACAACCAGGUUUUGCUUGUAACUACCAGCUAUGUGAACUUGUAUUGGAUAUAGUUGCCAAGUGCAAUAAAGCUUAUGCUUGUGGUUUGAUCAUUUACUUUCUUGGUCUUGAAAUAACUUCAUUUAAAGCUACAUGAAUGAUAAAUAUGACCUCAUGUUCCUUGCAAUAGUUAAUGAACUGAUCCUUCUCUGGUGUAUGAAACUCAUUUCAAAUUUUAUUUGGCAGAAACAACAUUAACUAAAGUAGAAAAGUCAUCUCUGCUUCUUGCAUAUGAAGUUAAUGCUAUUGGUCCUAUUUUAGUGAUCAAGGUGGGUUCUUCAUCUUAUAAUAUGACUUACUGUUUGUACUCCGUAGCUCUGUUUAUAAAUUAUGUUUCUUAAAUCCAGAACUAUAAUUCUAACUUCUGCUAGAAACUGUUCUGUUAGCACAUGUGGCCACUGUUGAAGGUUGGAGGUGGCUCUGGAACUGAAAGAAAACAUUCUGUUGUUGCAAGUUUAAGUGCUAGAGUGGGCUCAAUUGGAGAUAAUGGAUUGGGAGGAUGGCAUUCUUAUCGAGCUUCUAAAACAGCAUUAAAUCAAUGUAUGCGGCAUACUUUCUUACUGCAAUGCCAAUUAUCAUUGUCUAACUCCGUGCACUAGAUUUUUUUAAUGACUUCUUGCCUACUUUGAUAUCUCAUAUGAGCUUUAAAUACAUCUUGUUUCUGAACAUGAUUGUUUGAGGCUCAAGUUGUAUAUAAUGCUGAGAUAUCAACUGUCCUAGUCUUCUUGGUGUGUAAUUGUAUGAUGAAUAUUAAACAUAAUUUUUUGUGACAAGAAAUAGAUUUCUGAAGAUGGAAGACAUCUGGAUAUUGGUUUGACAUGCCAAAAAAAGAUUCCUGAUAGUGAGAUUCAGUGAUAAACAAUGUUUCAUAUCCAUUUAUUGAUCUACCAUGGUAAAUAUACUUGUAGGCUCGUAAAGCUUGUUUGUGCUGAAAUUAAGUCUUGAGCAGAUCAAUCCACUUGAUGGAAACCAAGAAACUUUACUUGAAACUUAUAUGUAUAAAUAUAAAGUAGAAGCAACACAUCGCAAGAUCAUCAUCUUAACCUAAGAAAUUUUUAGGCAAUAUCUUCUCCUGACUUCUCAAGUUAUCCUUGUCAAAGGGCCUGCACAGUUUAUGAAACUCCUACCAAUGCAGAAAAGAAAGCUCAGCCUUACCCCAGCAAACAUAGAGGCUAUUUUGUGAUCAAAGCUUAGAUCACCCAGGUCACAGGGAACCAAUCUUACCAUAGUGCUAAGGAAAAGUGUGUUUUGAAUGGUACUGCUACAUGAAUACAGUUCUCAUAGAUUGAGAAUGAAUUCUCAAGUUAUAUCUUCUCUUCUAGAUUGAUUUUCGUUGGUUGUUAUUUUAGAACUGGAGUUAAAGUUACUGCAAAUUUCAAUGUUAGUAGUGCCAGUAUGGCAGAGGUUUUGACUCUCUGGAGUCUUCCUCUUACUGUCUCUUGAUAUUCAUUCGCCUUUUUAGAGGCUUUAGGAGUUUUUGAAGUCCAGAGCCACAGAGAUGGAGUGUAAUACCAGGAAAACAACAUUCUGGCUUAGAUUACCAUACUAUAAAGAAACAGGCAGAAAAUAGGAUCAGCCGGUAGGGAGUUCUAACAGGUGCAGUUCUCAAUUUACACACAAAGGUGAGAAAGCUUACGUAUGCUCCUGCAUUUCUUUGUCAUUGACAUUUGUUUUUAGAAGUGCCCAAUUGAAUUUUAGGUUAGUGAGGAAAGGCACAAAGCCCGUUAACCACCUUUCAGACAUUGCUAUUUUGAGUCGAGAGAUAGAUAAAUAUACACAUCCAAUUGCACUGACCAGGGAGGUGCUCGUAGUGACUGAGGUAUUGGUAUUUUUUUUUUUUCAAAAGAAAUGUCUUUUUGCUCAGAUUCUGCUACGGUGUUGAAAUCUGAUCCGGGUAAUAUGUGGUUUUGCAAUGUUGCAAUGCAUCCCAUUGCACUGAUCGGGGAGGCGCUUGUAGUGACUGAGGUCUCGGUUAUUUUUUUUUUUUUUUCAAAAGAUGUCUGUUUGAUCAGAUUUUGCUACAAUGUUGAAAUCUCAUCCAGGUAAUAUGUGGUUUUGCAAUGUUGCAUUGCAUGUAUUAGCAAAUGCUUUCGCAUGUAUUUUACAGCAUGGCAUCUUCGCAUUGAAGCCAUAUGCAUUACUUGCUGGUUGCUUGCUUAUUUGUUAGAUAAUUAAAACCAAUGUGUCAAUAUAUGCAGUGACAAAGACUAUAUCAGUGGAAUUUGCUCGGAAGAAAGAUCCAAUCGUUUGCAUCCUGUUGCAUCCAGGAACCGUGGACACAGACCUUUCCCGGCCAUUCCAAAGAAAUGUCCCAAAGGGUAAACUCUUCACAAAAGAGUUCUCCGUCCAAAAUCUACUGAGCAUCAUAGACAAUGCUAAAAGCAGCGACAACGGGAAGUUUUUCGCAUGGGAUGGUCAGGAGAUUCCCUGGUAGAUUGGUCCCCGUUGUAAUUGAUGAUCUCAGUCUCCCUCUAACGAACUUGACAUAUAUCCUUUUUUUCUCAAUGAUCAAUUGUUGUAUUCAAUCUUCCAAGUGUUGCUUACAACUUGUUUCUGUUAGCCGAUGACAAGAAAUCAAUAACUAACUGAUUGUGUUCUUGAUCAUUUAUGUUGGAGUUGUUUAUUCUCAGAAUGUGCACCUGUAUAACAAAUAUAUACUUAUUACAUUUCUCAUGUAAUGUUUUCAUCUUUCACAGAGCAAUAUUGUUGAGGCAUAAAAAUCCACUAAUGAUUAUUCUCAAUAUAACUAUUUGGUUUCUUCAUACUUUGUUGCAACAAUCUCAUUACAACUGCUGCUCCUAGGUACCAUUUUUGCAACAGGAUUACAUCCAGUUGGAGAAAAGAAAACAGAUGGUUUUAUAUCAAAGACCAUCCUCAACCCACGAGUUUUUUUUGUAUCAUCCUAAUAAAUUCAUUCAAUUAAAAAAAAAUACUAUCAAACAUAAUUAACAAUACUAAAAAAAUUACAUAUAAUAAAAUUAAAUAUAUUCAAAUAUAAAGAGAAUAAAAAACAACAUAACUUGCGAGAGAGAUAGGAGAAGAUAGAGGAGAAAUGAGGAAAGGCACGGGGGGAGGGGGUGGGGCUUGCGAUGACCUACAAGGCGAGGCUACGAGAUGGGUGGGGGAUGGUUGCCACGAGGGGGCAGGGAUGCUGUGAUGAAGGGGAAGUCGAGAAGAUGAUGGAGCGAGAAAGGAGUGUGCAAUAGAAAGAUGAGUAUUUGGGUAUAGGUAUAAGACAAGGAGUGCUCUAUCCGUUUAGGAAGAUUAUCAUAUUAUAAAAAAAAAAGUGAUACUAAACAUAUUAUCAUGUCACCCUUGAAAAUUUAACAAGUUAAAUUUGAUCAUCAAUUCAACUUAAAAAUAUCUUAUUUAAAAAUUUAUUCAUUCUAAAAUCAUAAGAAAUUAAAAAAAAUAAUAUUAGUAUCUUAGUACAUGUUUUAAAAAAAUUAAAUUAAUUUGAUGAAAAUACGGGGCACAUUUGAUAUUAUCAAACUAAUUUUAAAAAAAUUAUCCCUCGUUAAAAACCAAUUACGGGGCACAUUUGAUAAAAGACUAAUAGUAGAGGAUUUUUAUGAUAAAUUGCCCAAUAUUACUCCUCUUCUUCUUUCCAUCUAUCGAGGUAGGGGUUCUUCCAAACCCUUGACAGAUAACGCUCGAGAUCGCCCCACGCGUGCUCCCUCUCUCUCUCUCUCUCUCGCUCCCCGCGAUGGCAUCGUCUCUGUUGAGUAGAACACUCGCCGUGCUUCGACCGAUCCGUUCUUCGGCUUGCGCUGCCCACGAUUCGAGAAAGAUUUUCAACCCUUUCUCCAAGGUUAUUUCUUGCGGCGAUUCUUGAUCGCCUUGGUCUUCCAUCUCUUGUUCUCGGUUCUGGUUGUUCUUGAUUCCCGAGUUUUUUUUUUUUUGCUCGCAGAGAAUAGUGAGUAGUGGCCGCUCCGGCUUGUCAUCUCUGGUUCGUCCAUCUACUUGGUCCGUCCGGCGCUUUGAAUUUGCUUCCACGAGCCUGAGGGCGACUACGUCUGCGAUUCAUACAGUAGCGCAUUGUGAGCCGGUUGUUUCUGCCGAUUGGCUUCUUGCUAAUCUUAGACAGCCUGAUGUUAAGGUGCUUUCCUAACAUCAGUUUUUUCCGUUUACAAUUGUGUUUUCUGCCAAACAGUUCUCCUGCACAAAGUUGCUGUCUGAGGACUACGUUCUCGCCAGCACUAUCAGUGCCAGUUGAGUGCCGUCUUGGCACCGGCGCCAACGAGCUGUGCCAUGCCAAACUGUUUUCCCACAAAUAUUUGCUGUUUUAGAGGGCUGCUUUCUUGGCAUCAGACAGUGCGGCUUGGCACUGUGCCAAGCCGCACAACCAGUUAUUUUUAAGGACUCCAUUCUUGUUAGCGCAACCAGUGCCAGCUGAGUGCCUCCCCAUUGCCGAGCUGCACAACCAUUUAUUUUGAAGGACUCCAUUCUUGUUGGCACAACCAGUGCCAGCUGAGUGCCUACUUGGCAUCACAGCUUUGCCAUGCCAAGCAGCUUUCCAACAAAUAGUUGCUGCUUGUAAGGACCACUCUUGGUAGCACAAACAGUGCUGCCCAGCUGCCGGAACAGUGAUGCUGAUGAGCUGCGCCAUACUGAAACUCGGCAAAGCUCGUCAAAUGAGAACCUCAAGUAAUUUCUAACUGAUUUUCCAUCAGUCAACAUCGAUUCCAAUUCAAAUGCAAGUAUUCUCUCAGAAUAGCAAAUACAAGUUAAAACACAAUCUUCUAGAUGCCUUUAAAGUAAGGUAAACAUAACCCCAACUAGGCCAAACAAUUCUUUGGCUCACCUCUGUUCUCGUAAGUAGACUAAAGUAAACUAUAGUGAAAACUUGACUCCAUUAAUAUGCUUUCAUUAUCUCUACUCAAUAAUCAAUUUGUAGAAGAGCUUUGAUUUAUAUCUUGGUUUCUGCCCCAUGAUAGUUUUUCCUUACAUGGAUGUUCGUUAUCAUAAUUCUUUCUUGCUUGCUUUUAUUUGGGUAUUCCUUUUUGUGUUGUAUGUUGAGAUCACUGGGCAAUUUAUCAACCCAGAGUCUGCUAACCAUUAUUGCCUUAUCCAUGUGGAAAUUUGAGGCGCUAUACUGCCAAAAAACUAUUUAAUCUCGCACAUGAGCCUCUUGAUAUUUUGCUUGAUGAGAACCACAUUGUUCAUAUGGCAAACUGAUUGGCAGCCAUUAUUGGUAAGUCUUUUUCCCAUGUAUUUUAUUAUCUCUUGACUUGGUUUGUGUUUACUGAGAUUUACAAGUGAUAUUCAAGUUUUAAUGUUACAAUAACAUACACAGCUCUGCUUUCUUAUCAAUCAACAUGUCUCUGUCAACCAGGUCUUCUUAUUGUCAUCAGCUUCAGUUUAAUUAAUAAGCAUAUGUAUUUAGUGUACAUAAUUUUAUGUGUAAGUAAAUACGUAUGGCUAAUCAUGUUAAUACGUAUUUGCAAUCUAUGCUAUUUGAUCUGAUCUUUGUUUGGUUGUCAUGUUUUUUAUUUUCAGAUACUAGACGCCUCUUGGUACAUGCCUGAUGAGCAAAGGAAUCCUUUCCAAGAAUAUCAGGUUUGUUUAUGGUUAGCAUUUUUUUCUCUUCUCGGCUCUGUUUAACAGUCUAUAUAUUGUUAUUGCUUCUUGUAAUAAGCUUGAUCAUGGUUAAGCCCUUGUAGUGCCUGAGGGGAAGUAUAAAUCUGAUGUAUGAAGCAACAUAAAACUUGUUUGUAGUGGUCGUAUUACUCAUAUAGUUGCAUGAUAAUUGGCUUUCAACUUUCUAUUUCUGGAGCAUGAAAUAAUUGAUUAAAAAUUGCUAUUGUUCUUAGUUCUUUUACAUUUGGAUUUUUGGUUUUUUACAUAUUGGUUUAUUUGAUUCUAUGGCCAGCAGUCAACUUUUAUUUUUCGUUGCUGUGAUGUUGCACUGUUAGAUAUAUAUGAUGAAUGUGUUUGGUGUUCGUGCAUCCUUUUUAAUCUUAGUGCUAAUGUCUAUCGAAGAACCUGUUAGAUUGAUAGCAUUGGUUUUUUUCUCGUACAAAUUUAUAUCAAUGAUAUAUAGUAUUUAAACCAAUAUACUGCUUUGACUGGGUGUGACUGUAUUAAUAUUUGCCAUAAACUGUUUUUUUUUGUUUAGGAUAUUAGGAGUUCCUGACAAUAUUUCAUACCUCAUCAGCCCAUACAUGAUAUUUUUUUAAGCAGAUACUUUGCAUCUGUUUCCUUCACUUGUAUCUAUCAGAUCUGGGAUGUCUCGAUCUAAAUUUAGGCAAAAUGCAUAUGGGACCUCAUGGCCCUUAUGCGGUAUAACCAUUGUCUGUGAAGCAGUACAACCAGCUGAGCACUGCAACUGGCUGAAAAAUUAUAAGCAUGAUGCCCAGAUGGACACACUUUGUAAUAUCGGUCAACUGCCAUGUAAACUCAUUAAAUUCCGCGUUUUUCUACAACCCCCUAAGUUAACAGGGAAUCAAAAUGGGUUUUUUUUCUUCUGAUUAUUGGAUUGAAGAUAAUGUAAUAAUCAAGGUCUCGAAGCUCAGCUGUACCAAUUGGUACAGACCAGUGUUUACCAAUCCUAUCAAGUAUCAAGUGCCAUUGUCAAAACACAUAGCUUGGUACCAUUUUAUUGCUAUUCAUUUUUUGUUAUUUUAUUCAUGAUAUCAUGUGGUAUAAGUAAUUGUAUUGCAUGGUAUACCUGUCCAUACUGGUCUGGUAGUUACCUAAACUGGUAUCAGGCUGAGAUUUAAAUCCUUGUUAGCUAUGGUUUAAAGGAUUGUAUUGUCUAUAAAUUAGGGGUUGUGGGUGAAUAAGGUUAAAGUUAUCAUGGAAAAUUAUUAAGGUUCAGUCAGUAUAAGUGCCAGUUGUUUUUAGUGUCAAUGGUCCAUUCAUCCUGUUGGCAAUGUGAUCUUCUUCAGCUUCUCUAUACAAGCUUGGAGUAUAUUUCUGUGCCUUAUUUGUUUACUUUCAGGGUUUUUUAGUAUUAUAAUUUUUUCAUCUUUUCUUUUUCAGAUGGCUCAUAUACCUGGUGCAUUGUUUUUCGAUGUUGAUGGAAUAUCAGACAGAACAUCUAAUGUAAGAUGAAAUUUCCUGAUUUUUACAUUGAUUUUCUUGUGGUUUAGAUUUGGUAAGUGCUUGUUUUGGGCAAAUACUGAAAAUUAGUCCUUGCAAAUUAUACAUGCACACGAGUAAUUUCUCUUGGUAACACAAGUCCUGCCCGUGCAACUGCCCCUAGCUUUUCCUUCUGUGGAUUAUGGUAAUACUUGCAUGCUUAUAAACAUAGGUGAAUACAAGUGUAUAUUUUCUUGUUUGUUGUUGUGAUCUUGACCAAAGGUUUUCUUUUCCCGAACUUCUUGUAUGUUAUAAUCAUAUAUGUAGAUGUGGAUAUCCACAAAUAUGAUCAAUAUAAUGUUUAAUAUAUAUUUGUCCAUGUAUACGUGUAUGUCAGAUAUGUAUAUAUGUUAUGUGGAUAUAUGAACUAAGAACACUUUUUUUAUAGUGUUUACAUCCUUUAGAUCAAAAUCCACAAGUUUUAUCUAAUUAUCAGCGUGCUAUUGGUCCUUACAGUAGGUAGCAAAUGUUUUGGCAUUAAACAGUAAUUCUGCACUGGCUUUCCGCCAUUAUGCAUGAAUGAUAAAAGACAAUAAGUGGGAUAGUGACUAUGGUGUAGACCAUAAAGAGGCCAUACUUAAACCAAGAAAGGACAUAUUCACAACGGAAAUCAUGGACAGAGCAGUGGAAAUAAGAAGGAAGAAAAGUGACAAGAAAAAGAGAAACAUGACUCCUUUGAUAUAUGUGAAUGAGGUCAAAUUAAAUGGACCUUAUCAAAUGUAAUCUAAGAGAGCUUCUCCAUGACCUUUUAGUAAUAGAUUUCCAUUUGAGGCAUAUUUUACAGUUUUGGACAGAUCUUAGCUGACCUGCUUUCAUCCUAUGUUUCAGUAGAACUGUCCAGAAAGUGACUUAAAAAUGUGAAAUGGCUGUAUCGUAUACAUGGAACACCCAGUUGCUCUACAUGUGUAAUUGUAAGGGAAACUUUCAUACAUAUUCCUUGAGAGUAGGGAAUGAUGAAUAUACCUUGAAGCAGGAAAAUUUUUGAAAUAAGACAUAUGUAUGAUGAUUUGAAAUGGGACGGAUAAAAUUUAACCAAAUCAAUCAACCGAACCUAAUCCUUGGAAUUGUCCUUGGUUAGGUUGGACAUGUACUAUUUUAUGCAGGUUCUCUUUUUAGAAAGGGCAUUUUGGUCACUCUGACAACUAAUGACUUGUUUCUAACAGCCUAUCCAUAUUAUUUAACAUCAGGUAUAUAUUUGUUAAUGUUGAAAUUUGGGAGGAUAUAUAUGUGAAACCAACUUGAUGGAUGUUUUUGUUGUUCUUUAAUUAUUGAGGGAUAAGUAUGAAAAUUUCCUAAAUGUAAUGGAUAUGUCAGGAUGGUGGUGAUCUCAGGCAAAUCUUGGUGUAUCAAUGGCUACUGUAGGAUCCAGAAUUAUUUUAAUUCAAUCCUAUGGAAGAAAUAUUCUGUAACAAGAUAUCUUUUUUAAAUUAUCAAGAUUUAAUGUCCUUAUGAUGAAAAGUUCUUAUAUUAUCUCUUCCCUGUUUAAUUGCAGCUAGCAGUUAUCUUACAGUGUUUCAUUUUGGUCAUUCUUUUGAUCCUUUCUCCACCUUUUAACUUUCAUCAGUAAAUUAACCUGUAUUUUCUUGAUAAUAACUUGUAAACAAAUUAUUCAUUUCCAGUUCAUCCAGUUCCAUUUUCUUUCAUUUGGGAGCUCGUGUUUCUUAUAGCCAACUCUAGCUUCAUAAUUUUGGUACUGGUAAUUUUUAAAAAAGAACAUGGCUUUUGGUAUAAACUUAUCAUUCUCUUUUAAUUAUUUUGGAUUGCCCACUAAAUAUCUGUUUCGUAAUAGAUAGAUAUAAAAUGGCGUCUGAUCGGUUCCAGAUUAAAGAAUAAUCCAUUUUAUCAUAAAGUUGGACAUAAGCAAUUAAAGAAAGAUAAAGUUGCAAUGAUUAUAUAUACUAAUGACAAUGAACUUUUAAUAUCUUUUUCAUCGUUUCACAACAUGAUCUGUAAAAGAAGGUAAUGAUUAUGCUAUACCCAUCUAUAUAGUGCAUCUUUUCAGUUGUCCUGAGUCAAAUGUUUGGUUCAGUAGAUAUCACUUGUUUUUUUCCUCCAUUGAUUAGUACUUAUAACAUGGAUAGCAACUAACACUAGUAAUAUGAAUCAGUUGCCACAUAUGUUGCCAUCAGAAGAAGCUUUUGCUGCUGCAGUUUCUGCACUUGGGAUUUAUAACACAGAUGGGGUGGUUGUUUAUGAUGGAAAGGGAAUAUUCAGUGCUGCUCGUGUGUGGUGGUGAGAUAUAUAUUAACAUGGAAAUUAGUUUGUGUUUGUUUUGGAUAAAAUAGUUUUAUCUAAAGCUGAUAAGCAAGAGGAUGUUUAUACUAUUGGGUAAGUAUCAUAUUGCAGAACUUUGAUAAAUUAUGCAAUUGUAUUUGAAAUAUUUACUCAACUUUAUUAGUUAUUUAUAAAUUUUACAAAUAUUUGUUUGUGAAGAUAAUUAUUGCAAAAUAAGUUUCGUGUUUAUAUUAAACAAAUAGAUUACAUGAGAUUCGGCCAUAUGGUGGUGCUCAAGGUUUUUAGAAUUCAGGAAUGGAAAUAGGAUUAGUCAUAUGAAAAUUUUCUGGGAUCAGAUUGCAUCAGUGGGAUCAGAUGAUAUGGAUCAGUUGGUCAGGCUUCAACAAUUUUUAUAAUUAUUUUGUUCAACUUGUGUACUAACUGAUUAAUUUAUGAUUGAGAAGUUAAGCAAACAAAUAACAAAAAAAAGAAUGAUGCUUGUAGAUUUACUGGUUCUCGUGUUAUUGGCCCAAAAGUAGAUAUUCAUCUAAAACUGAGAGAAUAAUAGUUUAAGUUUAAAUAGUUAUUUAGUAAUAUGUAAUUAAUAUUUUUGGGUCAAUAGCAUCUACCAACUGGGAAACUUCUAAUAUUAACUUAUUGAUCAACUUAUUCUUCUCUUUAUCUAAGCCAAGUUAUAUUUACAGAUUUAUAACAUUGACUGCAGGAUGUUCAGAGUUUUUGGACAUGAUAAGGUUUGGGUGCUGGAUGGAGGCUUGCCGCAGUGGCGUGCUUCCGGAUAUGAUGUCGAGUCCAGUGCCUCUGGAGAUGCAAUUUUAAAAGCUAGUGCAGCUAGUGAAGUAAUUGAAAAGGUUUAUCAUGGAAAGGUGGUAUGUUUACUAAUCUAAGCCUUUUAAAGAAUAUUAUUAGUCAAUUUGUUGGUUUUCAUAUUUAUAUUUGUUUCUAAAAUAUAAUUGUCUGUUGCAAUGUUUUGUUUGCUUUGUGGACCGCAUAUUGUCUCCAUUAUCUCAAGCUUGUUCAUAAUUUCUUUGUUGUUCCCCAUGUGCCAUGUUGAUUUGGCCUUUUAAAUCCACUUGAUUAUUUGGACAAUGAUUUAGUGUUGAUGUUUAAACUUCGCAAUUUGUGAAUCAGUUCAGUCAUAAAUCAUUUAAUCACUUAUAAUACAAAAGCAAAUGAAUUUGUGUGUUUGUCUGGGUGUGGGAGGGAAACAUUAUCAAAAUGGAGGCUAGAGGUUAAUAAAUUUAUCUUGUACAUUUCUGAGUUCUCCAUAUUUGCAUCUUCAUUCAUGGAAGCUAUAUCUGCAUGUUGGUUCUUUAUGUUUUAUAUAAUAGCAAAAAGGAAAAGAUAAUCUGUUAAAAAAAAGACAAAUGAAGUUGAGGAAUUUUUCCUAUUACUAGUGAUUUUGGUCUUAAAACUGACUAAUUCACAAAAUCUUCAGAACAAGUCAUAUUUUGUAAAAUGUUUAUCUUUAUCUGCUAAUGACAACAGUCAAAUGCCUAACAUUUGUUCCUGUGCCAAAAUAUGAGAAUGUUUGAUAUUAGCUAUUUAUUUUAACCGAGUGUCUCGUUUUGAUACGGAAUUGUGAUAAUGUACAACUCUAAGUUAUCCUAUGCAGGUUGGAUCUUCAACAUUUGAAGCAAAGUUUCAGCCUCAUCUUGUAUGGAAGCUUGAACAAGUAAGUACUAUUUGUUUCCACUACAUAUUUUUCGAACUACUUAAAUUGCAUCCAGACACUUGCUCUGCUAGGAAAUUGUCAUCCAAUGGAAGAAUGAAUAGUCAGAUAUAAGUGCCUGUUCACACGCACAUACAAUGUAAUUUGACACAGGGUCUGCCGUACCGAACUGUACCGCCCGGUACGGGCGGUACGUACCGGUCCGACAGGUUGUCGGUAUGCGGACCGCCUGUUACCGGUUCGAGUAUACUGUAGCACUGUAGCAGUGCUACAGUACUCGGCACACCUGGGUGUACCGUUCGGUAUACCGUACCGUAUUGGUAUCGAGCCCAGAUCGAAAUACUGGUACGGUACGGUAUUGCGAACCUUGAUUUGACAUACAAUGUAACAUGGAAUCUGCAAAGGAUCAAUAUACACAACCUAAUCUUUGCAAACAGAGACUAUUCCUGGCUUUAAAGAAAAGCUAAUAAAACUAAUGAUAAAACUACUAAUGAUAACAGGAUAAUCAUGUGCUCCCAGAUUGAAUGUCUUAAAGCAAAAAACAAAAAAAUAAUAUGCAGUACAAUUGUUGACCAAACUAAUGGAUUGAGGAAUAGAAGGAGAGAUGAAAUGGGGUCCUAUGGGAGUUAAUGCUAAGUUUCAGAAAAUUAAUGGAUUGGAGUGUAUUUGAUUCUUGACUUCCCCCUCCAUCUUCUUUGUUUACAACAUUUAUUUAUUCCUUAUAACUGCUUUUCACUUUUUUUGUUGUGAGAGAUUUGCAUCUGUCCUAUGAUAAUCUUCAUGGUUUCUCUCUCUGUGUACAUCAUCUGUUGUUUGUACAAUUCCCUGCUACUGGGCCACUUUACCCUUUCGUUGUGCCUCCAUUUAUCAUAUUGGCUGCUCCAUAUAGUUUUAUCCAUCUGCUCUGACCCAAUGAUAUUUCUGUAUCCUGCUGCCAGCCAUGUCUUGUCUGCUCCAUUCCUUGGUUCCAACCAUUUAUAGUGGUCUCAACUUAACUGUUAGGCUUGCACUCAAGCCCAUUUGUAAAUUAAUUAUUUCAGAUAAUUGUUUCCCUUUCUAGUGAUUUGAGUUAGCUUGUAGGCUUAGACUCAGACGUAAUUUUUGUAAGUUGGUGUCGACUGUUGUGUUCUGAUAGGAUAUACUUUUGAAGUUUCCUAGUUGGUGGCUGAUAUGUGAUCUCAUUCUAGGAAAAAAGCCUUUUCUAUAAUUUAAUCCCAUGCAGAUGUGAGGAAACUGAGAUUGUAACUAUGCUUAUAUUCUUUACUGCUUAAAUGUUGGAAUGUUUUAUUGUUAGAUUUGGAUGGGAUUCUUUUCAAGGGCAUGCUACACUUUGAUUCAUGGCUUCUUUGAGAACAUGUUGAACACAUUAGAUGGACAAAUCUAAUUCAUCUUGACAAGUUAUUGUUGCUGAAACAAGGAACAUUGCUUCGGGGUACCAAACUCGUCUAGGUCUUUGGUCGGACCAUUACGUAAUGGUGUGACUUGAAGAGGAAGGAGGAGAAGAGGAAGGAACAAAUGGCAGUGGAGGAAGAGAAGGAAGGUGGAAGGAAGAAGAGGAGGCAGCGGAGAAAGCAGAAAAGGAAGAGACAGGAAGAAGAGGAGGCGGUGGAGGAAUAGGAGGAAAAAGGUAGAGGAAGGAGUGGAGGCAAUGGAGGAAGAGGAGAAGAGACACGUACUGAGUAGGCAGUGGCUUUGCAUUGGGUGGUGUGCAGUGGAGGUUCUCGCGAUGCAACGUUUUUUUUUCAUAUGGCCAGACCACCAGACUACUUGUAACGGGAGAGGUCCACAUACCAGCUCACUGCAGACUGGUACAUGCAACUCGUUUCAUACUGCUUUGGAGAAACGGUAUUCCUUGGGCUGAAAAAUGCUAUGGCUGGAUUAGGACUUAACAACUAUAUAAGUUAGAUUAAAUAAUUUUGUUAACUAGUAUAGUUUAGGCUUUUCUUUAGGCAUUAAUUUCAGAUUGUUUGUAUCUUCCUGGGAAUAAGUUUUACUAUUUUCCAAACUUUCGGACUUUCAGAUGUACUUGUUGCAAAUAUUAUAACAUAAGAGUGUAGACCAUGUUUUGUCCAAGUUAUAAUUGAUUCUGGCUGUCUUGGAGGAACCUAUUAAAAUAAUUAGGUGCUUUGUAGUAUUCAGAACCCAAAUGCUGGUGUUUAUUACCCUUCUGUCCUCGUACAGUUUUCAUUGGUAUCGAUGCUUCUAUCUUUAGCUUAAGUUCUAAUGUAUAUGGAAAAGUUUGUGAAGAUUUCUCUUUUUCUUUGUGGGCUGGACAAUAGUUCUUUCUGUACAUUGUUGUUGGUAAUGGCCUUUAGCACAAAGCAAAUGUAAUUACUUGUUUCAGGUUAAGCAAAACAUAGAAGGACAAGCAUAUCAGCAUAUAGAUGCACGUUCAAAGGCGAGGUAACUUCUUAUUAUAUUGUCUUGUUUAAGUCAUAAUAUUUCAAUAUAAUUGCUUUUAGCUUAAUACUUUGACAUGCUGUAAAUCAUCCUUGAUUUUUUUUUGACACAUUAUACUCCAGUCCUUCCUUUGAAGGCUGCGUCAUAAAUUUUGAUUUCUUGUCAGAUUGGCCAGAGGACUUUCUGGAAAUCUACAGCCCUAUGAUGUAUUUGUGAUUUCUGUAAGAAAUAUAUAUAUAUAUAUAUAUAUAUAUAUAUAUAUAUAUAUAUAUAUAUAUAUAUAUAUAUAUAUAUAUAUAUAUANNNNNNNNNNNNNNNNNNNNUUGAAAUUUUUUGAUUCAACUGUGUUCAACUUUUCAUUAUCCUAUCAAAUUAAUGCUCCAAUCAAAUAAACAUGAAAUCAUUGAAUUCAGUUACAUUGAACCUAACUUUCUUAUAUGUCUGUGCCCAUUGCACACGAAUUGGACAUCAUUGACAUUCUGCUCUAAUCUUAUUUCUUUUGUUAUCUAUAGUUGGAAUCUACAAUUCUUUAUUCUGAAAAAUUAUAAAGGACUUGAUCUUAUUAAGAUGUUGAAGACCUGAUGCCCAAUAGGAUGUUUAUUCGCAAGCCAAGAAGGCAAGAACCAAUAUAAAAUCCAUGAACUACCAACGAAACCUACUCCUUUAACGUUUGUCAAAUCAUCGGAUGCAAGUGUUGGGAAUUGAAGAUGAUCAGCAGUCUUAUGGGUCAAUCAGAACAACCUGUAAGACAGCAAAGAUGAGAGACUUUGUGACAUUUUGUGAGAGUGGGUCUCAUACAUGGAGAUUAUUUCCUUCUAAUUAUAAUAUUUUGUGCCUUCAGACCCCCACUAUAAUACUGUCCCUCAUUUUUCCUUGACCUGUUUCUUCUCAGAGUGGUACAUAAAGCUUUUGAUCAAAAUAUAAACCACCACAUACUGAGAAGUGAUUUAAUAAAAAAGAUGUCUUGAAUGUAUGCCAGAUUUGACGGUGCAGCUCCUGAGCCACGGAAGGGAAUCAGAGCUGGUCAUGUUCCUGGCAGCAAAUGCAUUCCUUUUGGCCAGGUAGGGAAUUUAUAAGUUUCACUUUUUUGUUGUUUACUAUGUUUUCUUUCUUAUGGAUUGACAUGAUAUCUUCACCAGUUCCAUCACCUCUUGUUACAGAACUGCAAUUAUAUUUUAAAGAAGCAUUUAUUUUGAUUCAAAUGAUUGGCCUUAGACCCAAGACAAGUUUUUCUGUUAAGGCACAGAUUCCUCAUUCAUCUUAUAAUUAUUCAUUUUAACCUUCUGGAUACUUGUGUUCCCCAACUGGGUAUGAUGGUUGAUAAAACCUUAUCAUAAUGCAUUUUACUGAUUUAUGGACCCUAACUAUUUUUACACCAGAGUUCUGUAUGAUCUAAAAAUUUAUUUGUUACAUGAAGGCAUGCCGCCAAAAGACUUUGCCAUUUGUUAAGAGCAAAACCUACACCUUGUUUUAACUAGGAACUGUAUUACAACAAAUGGUGUCCUUGCCUAGCUUUAAACUAUUUUCUUUUUGACUGACCUCUGCAGAAAUUCAAUAAUAAAUCUUUUACUGUGGGAUUUCAAUGAGACAAUGUACCUUUUCUGCAGAUGCUGGAUAGCUCACAAAUGCUCUUGCCUGCAAAUGAACUUACCAAAAGAUUCGAGGAAGCAGGUAAGUUUUAAUAUUUUCAUGUAAAUAUCCAAAUGUAAAUCUUGCAUAUGGUAAUUUAUCAGGGUCACUUGUACUUCUCGAGUCAACAAUGAUCUUGGAAAAAGAACUUUGCACCUUUUGUAAGAUAGAGAAUUGCUUCCUCGCUGCACUGGGAAGUCAUAUCUUUCUUUCAUCCUUGCAGGAAUCACAAUGGACCAACCUGUGGUUGCCUCCUGCGGUACUGGUGUGACUGCUUGCAUACUUGCUUUAGUAAGUUACUUCAUUUCAGUUAAAAAAUGAUUUUCUACAAAAUUUGACAUUGGCAUAGUGAUAAUCAAUCAAAUUCAUGGAAUUUUAGGGUUUGCAUCGGCUUGGAAAGACUGAUGUCGCAGUCUACGAUGGAUCCUGGACCGAAUGGGGAUCACAACCUGACACCCCUGUCACGACUGCUUGAAUUUUUUGAUGUUUCGAUGGAACCAUCUAUCAUUCUAUAGCGGAUCAUGAGAGGGAGGAGAUGCUUAUUUAUUUGUACAUGAGAUAAUUGCGAAAAUUUUGAACACACUUUAUUGGUAAUAAAGCAAUGUCCUUUAGUUAUUAAAUAGUACCUAUAAUCCUCAAAUGAAGGAUGAAUCGAUAAAUCAGCAUCACCUCUGGUAGGUAAGAACUCCAUGUUUCAUCUUAACAAACGUAUGCUGUUGUUCAUCUUGACAACUCGGGAUGUAUGCAUUACUUCGUUACUGUUUCUUUUUAAGCUGUCAUUGAUGCACCUGCUCUGAACAGGUUGGAUAUUUUAGGGUUUUGUAGUUGAAUUCUGUUUGAUGACAUGCUUUUCAGAGUAAAUCAUGGCCAUAAUUGAUGUGGUAGAAAUAAAGUCCAGAUGAAGUUUCCUUUGUAUCCUCCUGAAGUCCAUUUUAUUGUCAACACACACAAACGAUAAUGUUUGACAAUUUGACAUAGAGUUGACCUACAGAAACGAAGAGCUCGACGACCAGUAAAAUUGCGAUCUUUCAGCUUGACUUUAUAUAUAUAUAUAUAUAAAUCUUAGCUUUUACCCCUAAAAAUUUACAUGUGUUUAUACAUAAGAUGUGUAAAUUUUAGUUGAUAUUAAUAAUCUUUAAAAUUUUAAUCAAUGGUAUUGAAUAAAUUUUAUAAAAAAUAUUCGGACUAUCAAAUUGAUAGGUAUUGUCAACGGUAAUCAACUUAAUUUUUUGUAAUGGACAUCAGCCAAAGAAGCACUUAUGGUGCAUUGUAAUAUUUGGAAGAACACAAAAAUUAUCAAGGUUAAAUAUCUUAUUAUUUACAAUAAGACAACAACGAGAUCGCGUGGCCUAAUGGAUAAGGCGCUCGCCUCCGGAGCGGGAGAUUGUGGGUUCGAGUCCCAUCGCGAUCGUAUGUAUUGUUUUUCUUAUUGGUUUUUCCCUAAUAAUAUCGGGAAAUAUUUUAGAUAAUUUACAUUAUAAUCCUAAAAGCCACCACCUUCCACGUCAACAACCAGUGGCCCCCACACCAUCUUGCCCCGGCGACACCUGGGCGCUCCACGUCGAGCCCGUAAAGAUUAGCGACAGCUGGACGCGGAGUUGCCGUGGAGUAGCAGCUUGACUUGACUGCGCGAAGUCACCGUCCAACUUUUGUGGCCACAGGUUGAAGUCAAGAACGCACUUCUUCUUGUAGAUCCCGUCGGUGAUCCUAUUUGUACCUGCUCGUUUGAAAUGACCAUAUGAGCUUGUUUGACCUCUUUGCAGCCUCUCCUGAUCUCAAUGGCUUCAUCAACCAUUCUCUCCUUCCUCCUCUUCGCUCUCCUCCUCGCCCUCUCCCGUGCCGCCACUUUCGAGAUCGUCAACUGGUGCCCUUUCACCGUCUGGGCUGCAGCCGUGCCAGGUGGCGGCCGCCAGCUUGACCGAGGCCAGACCUGGGUCCUCGAUGUGAACCCCGGGACGACCGGCGGCCGCAUCUGGGCUCGCACCGGCUGCUCCUUCGAUGGCAGCGGCAGUGGAAGUUGCCAGACCGGGGACUGCGGCGGCGUCUUGGCGUGCCAGGGGUACGGCAGCCCACCCAACACCCUCGCGGAGUUCGCGCUCAACCAGUUCGACAACCUCGACUUCUUAGACGUCUCCCUCGUUGACGGCUUCAACGUGCCCAUGGAGUUCAGCCCCAUCACAGGGAACUGCAGCGCGAUCCGGUGCUUAGCGGACAUCAAGGGGCAGUGCCCCGCCGAACUGUGGACUCCGGGCGGCUGCAACAAUCCAUGCACGGUGUUCAAGACGGACGAGUACUGCUGCACAUCCGGCAGCUGCGGCCCAACCAAUUACUCCAAUUUCUUCAAGAGCAACUGCCCCGACGCCUACAGCUACCCGAAGGACGACGCCACCUCGACCUUCACUUGCCCCGGUAACGGCGACUACAAGGUCAUCUUCUGCCCCUCCGAUGGGUACCCCACGAGGUUCGGCCGGACCGCUGUGAGAUUUGUGAUCCCAAGGGCUUGAGGACGUAAGAGGUUUUGUGCCUCGGAUUUGUGUGCUGGAUUGAGCGCUGCCGUGGGGAAAGGGAAGAUGCAGACUUUUUUGUACACUACCAAAUCGUCCAAGUUUGACUUUGACUUUGCGACUCCUUCCUAAUGUCUUUGAUGAAAGUGGAAGAGAAAACAACAUGUUUGAGCAACAGAACAAUUGUGAAAUGAUACAGAAGAAAUGAGAAAUAGAGAAGACACUGAAAAAAUACCAUUUAAAUGAUAUACUAAAAAAAAAUCUUUUGGUCAUCAAUAAGUAAUAAAACUUAUAUAAAUUUAAUAUUUUUAAUUAAAAAAACUCAUCUGAAAAAUAUUUAUGUACAUAAUUUUAUUUUUAAAUAUUUAAAGAGGAUAUUUUCAUGACUCAAUAAUCUUUAGAUUAGCAGAACUCCAUUCCAUGGGAAACUAGACAAAAGGCUCAAGCAUAGGUCUUCCUGCCACACUUCAGUUUUCUCAUCAGACUCCAAUAACAUUUGAAGCAUCAGUACAAUUUUACUGUUCUUGCCUACCUCAGGAAAUCUAGAUUAUUUUGAUGGCACCAAGUGACAUGAGCUGAGGUUACAGAUCAUGACAAGCAAUCUGAUGUCUUGGAUGCCAUCACAGAUCUCUGAGACCAAUAUAUCUUUGUUGUGUCCUGAACAGUGCAUGAAUUACUGAAGCCUUUAAACUCUUUCAGUCUUUGUCUGGCUCAGAGAAUCCAAAUUAAUUUCAUGCCAUCGAGUGACAUGAGUUGAAGCCAUAGAUCAUGACAACAAGCAGGUUGAUACCUUAGAAGUCAUCACAGGCCUCCCUGUAUCUAAUAUAUACUUGUUUCCUGAACAGUGCAUGAAUUACUGAAGCCUUUAAACUCUUUCAGCCUUUGCCUGGCUUAGAGAAUCCACAUUAAUUUGAUGCCAUCAAGUGACAUGAGUUCAGGUCAUAGAUCCAGCAACAAGCAGUUUGAUAGCUUAGGUGUCAUCACAGAUCUCCGUGUAGUGCAUGAGUUGCUGAAGUUUGGAAUAGCCACUUUGUUCAUAUGACUAUGACUGAGACCAUGUGGUAUCAAAGAGGAAGAUGAAAGAAGCUUCUAUGUUCAAGAUGCAGCCCUUGCAAGAAAGUUGUGAAUAACCAGAGAAGUAGCACCGGAAAACCAUAGCAUUGCACACCUCGAAGAGUACCUACAAUAAUGCCAAAAGCAUCAUCUUGUACAUAUGAUGUUUGAAGAUAAAAAUGAAGAGCACUGAUAUAGGAGCCACAUAAUCUCUAGCCGGGCUAAGUUCUUCAAAUUUGAUGGCUGUAUUAUCAGCAUGAACAGAAUUGUGAAAGGAUUUUAGAAUGCAGGGGAACAUUUACAAUUAGCUUUCGGUAGCACCCAUUUUGAAGCAACCAGUAAGGAGAAGGAAGAAGAAGGCAAAAACAAAUUUGCAAUCAAGUAGAGAUUGGUUGUAGCUGAUAUUGAUGAUGCCUAUAUGUGAACGAAUAACUGGAUUGACAUUAGUUCAUAACCACAUGUUUACAAUCUAGCCACAAAUUGCAAAAAUAAAUGACAAAAAACAGGAUGACCUUCCAAGGUCUCCAUCAGUCUAGAUUGCGAAUAUAAGCUAAGAUAUCCAACAUCAUAAAACUAGAACUGAUUCCAAGAUGACCGCUAAUGAUAGACAUCUGGGACAGAGAAGUAUUUGGUUUGAUCAAACAAUAUGUUUGUCCAUGAUAGUGGCAUCUGUAAUGAUGUACUUCCUACUACUUUGAUGUUGGUAAUAGGACCUUUGGAUGCUAAUCCAUGUUGUGCAUAGAAUACUAAAUAUACCACCUGGCAUUUAAAAAUCCUAGUUACAAGUCUAACCAGUGAUUAUCAAACAACACCUAGCAUGGUCAGCAUUUUCAAGUGAAUAAGGCAUUCUACGAUGUAGUCAUCACACGCAUGUACCGCAAGUCAUGUGCUUAUCAAAUCAAUAAAUUUCCAUUAAUAAAAUAUAGAAAUCAGUGCAAUAGAAGUAAAUGAAAAUACCUACAGGCAAGAUCAAGCCAUAAACAAGUUUUGGUCCUUA